UUUUUUUCUCUCUCCGUCUUUCCAAAACAAACUAGAUAAGAUGCAGAUUGGAUCAAGGGAAGAUGUGAACGACCUCAACUAUGAUUUAGAAAAUGAACGAUGGGUAGCACGUGGUGGAAAUUGAUGAAUGGGUGUUGGACAGCGAAAGGGAUAACGAUGCAGCGGCGGCGUGACUAAUGUGAACAGAACUCGAAACUCUAAAUGAACAAGACACUAAGACCAGCAACUCGACACGACGAUGCAACCGAUAAUUCAACUAUGCAAGCAAUGAAAAGAAAAUUGCAAAGGCUCAGACUGGCUUGGACAAAGGAUGAAUAGAUCUAGCUUUUUUUGUGGCUUUUUCUUGGACUAUAGGUACGAAGAAUAGACUCGAUCUAGACAACGAAAAACUGUAAAAAUCUCAUCGAGCAACCUGGAAAUCUGAUACCACUUGAUAGAGGCGAGGGUCCCUAUCUUUCGAUGAGAUGAUAACUAUCGAUUUGGUGGAGAUGACUUUGAUGAUCCGACUACAAACGUGCACGACGUUGCGCCUUAGCAAUCGCUAAACCAAUCUCCUGAGGUUACUGACGAUGCUGGAAGCACGGUCAGCCUGACCACGAAGGUCUAUUCCUACAAGCAAUCGAAGAACGAUCAAGAAUAUGAUAAAGAAAUCUGAAUAUUGCAAAUAUAUAUGAAGUAUUGAUAAUGGUGGGGAUCCGAAAGCGGUCUUGGUCUGGUCUUUGGACACAAACGAAGUACACGAAGUUGCAAUGGCUAACUUUUAACUAAACAAAUACCCAGCAAAAAGCUACUAGUUGGAUCUACUUAUAUAGGAGCAAGGGAUGGUGGCCAAGGAGGUGGGAGGAAGUCCCAAGGCAACCUAAAACUAACCCUAGGUCGUACAAGGCUCAUGGGCCCAAGUGGAGGUGAUGCAACACCUCUGGGCUUGUAGUUUGACUCGGAUUCUGCUGCAACAUCAGAAUGUUUCAUCUAUGAACGAAUUUGAAGGUGAAUCCAAUUGGGUUGGAAAUAGCACGAAAUCUAGUUUGCAAAAAAUAAAGAAUCACCCAAUUCGGAGUCCGUAUGAAAAAGUUGUUGGCGUUUUGAUCCAGCUAUGUCUGUGUAGUUCGAAUCUGAAUUCAGAACGUGAGAGACUUGGACUCUAUGUUCUCUUGGCCCAAAAGUGACGUGAGAGGACUUUUUGAACAGAACCUAAACUUCUCCUUUUCCCUUAUCUUCAUAUGUGGAUUGUACAAAUGUCCCAUACACCUGCAAUUACACAAAACACAAAAGUGUGUGAAGUAUCUUUUGUUCUUGAUAACAUAAAUUGAUUAUUGAAUAGUUUGCAUUAGAAAUCACCUGACAAAUAUGCAUGUAUGCAAUAUUUUUGGUCGUAUCCAAGGUAGUCAUGUCCUCAUCAUCACGCUCACAAUCCGAGGUGGGGCUACUCUAGUAGGUGCAAGGGUGGAGUAACCACCGGCAGUGGUGAGCAUGAACUGGAAUAGGAGUUGUUGUAGUCACCCAAUGCAUCCUCCUGUAUCUGUCUCUCAAAGGUACAAGCACGGACAUACAUACCAGUAAUGCAACGAGGAAUAUACUGAAAUCUUGCCUUAAUAUCAUGGCUUAAACCACCAAAAAAUCUAUUCAUUGUAUCAUCCUCAGAUUCUUCUAUGUCACAAUGAUGCAUAUAAGAUUUGAACUCUUGGUAGUAAGCAUGAACAGUGUUGUUGCCUUGCUUAAAUUUUUCAAAUUUCGGAAGCAAUUCACGAUGAUAGUAAGGAGGUAAAAAUUGUUGUCUCAUUACAGCUUUCAAAACUUUCCAAGUUGUGGGUUGGUUAUCAAUGUUUUUCUUACAAUGUACACUCCACCAAAUGGAAGCAAACCCAGUAAAUGCUCUAGUGGUAGCUCAUACUCUCUCAUGUUCAGAAAAAUCAUGGUGACUAAAAACUUCUUCUACUUCAAGCUCCCAAGCUAGAUAAAUAGCAGGAUUAAGUCUACCCUCAAAUGAUGGUAAAGAGAUAACCUGACCAUAUGCUUGUGUGUGUUGUCCCAACUCUCGUGAUGGUGAAGAUGUGUCCGUCGUACAAGAACUUGAUGCGGAGCAUCCCACGACCAUCCCCAUGGACGCCACCUCAACUAUCCAAGCUCCAAGUGGACCAAUGACAAGGGCUUGGGCACGUGCUAUUCAAUCCGAGGUGACAUCACUCCUACUUGAGUUUUCUCCCUCUUCAAGUGAGACAUGGCUGCUGCCUAAGUCCGAGAUACUAUGUGUCAUCAGGUACAACACUCAAGAAUCGGAGCCAAGGACUGUAGAAGAAGUGACAGGCGUCAACACUCUAGACAGCCCGGAACUUCCGGCCAGAGCCUAGAACUUCCGGCCCCCGGACCUUCCGGCCGACCCGGACCUUCCGGCCGACCCGGAGCUUCCGGCCGCCGAUGUCUUCGACCAGCCCAGGCGUGCCAACUCUCGGGUUAGCCCGGACCCCGUCCCGGACCUUCCGGCGCCCGGAAUGAUAGAGGCAAAGGUGUCCCGAUUUUUCGAUGAGAUGGUGGCUAUCAUUUCUGUGGGAGUCGACCUUGAUGAUCCGACUACGAACGUGCGAGACAUCGCGCCUUAGCAAUCGCUAAACCAACUUCCGAGGGGUUAUUGACCACGCCGGAGCACGAUCAACCUGACCACGAGGAUCUGUUUCCUGCAAGCAAACGAAGAACAAGCAAGAAACUAAGAUUGCAAUCUGGAUAUUGCGAAUAUAGGAUGAAAGCUUUAUUGAUCAAGGUGGGGUUCUGUGACGUCUUGGUCUGGUCGUUGGACACAAACGAAGUACGAGAAGUUGCAGCUAUGGCGAAAUUUUAAUCUAAACAAAACCCAAAGUCUAAACGACGCCCUAAGGGCUGUAUAUAUGGAGGAAGAGGGGGGGAAUUUCGUGGCCCUUGAGGGUGGGGUGCGAAACCAACCCUAACUCUUGUGUCCCCACACAUACAGACUCUAAAAAUAGCCUAUACUUAAGUAUUUCGAAAUUACAUGGGCCUGGCCCAAUAAUAAGGUGAUGCAGCACCUAGAAUAGCCUAUGGACGAAUAUUAUGAAGUGGCAUCUUGUAUAUUUUGUCCAAGGCUUCAUGCACUCCUUAUGGUGGCUUCAAAGUCCUGAAAUCAUCACUUGUAACUCCGUUCUUGAUGCCCUUGCGGAUGCCAUGAACUCCAUGCGUGUUCUUGCUCCAAUGUUCAUCGUUCUCCAAGCUAGGCCCUUCAUUUGUAAGCAAAACAAAUGUAUCCAAUUUAGGGAGCAUCAUAUUCUCAUGAACAUCAGAAUCAUUACCAAGAAACGAAAGUACCUGGUAAUUUAAUUGGCGUGCGCGAGCUCUAGUAAUUGGUCCAAUAUAUGUAAAAGUAGGGGAUGUGGAUGUAACAAUGGUAUUGAUGUCCACAUCAUCCUCCCCUUCUUGAAAUGAAGUCGUCCUCGACGGAAGCUCAUCUUCCUCACCCAAAUAAGGCUUCAAAUCUGCAAUGUUAAAAGUGGGACUAACCCCAAAAUCUGCAGGUAGCUCAUGUUUAUAUGCAUUAUCAUUAGCUUUGAUUUGAGCAAAUUAGGAAAUCUAUCUUUACGCAAAUGUAACCAAACAAGAUCUCCAGGUGCAAACACAACAUGUUUUCUAACCUUAUCUCCAGCAAGUUUAUAUUUAGCGUUCAUACGCUCAAUGUUUUCCUUAGUUAACUCAUGCAUUUUUAAAAUCAAUUCAGAACGUUCUUUAGCAUCAAAAUUAACCUUCUCCGAAGAUGGAAGAGGCAACAAAUCAAUAGGUGCACGAGGUAGGAAACCAUACACAAUUUCAAAAGGGCACAUAUUAGUAGUAUAAUGCAAUGAACGAUUAUAAGCAAAUUCAAUAUGAGUCAAGCAUUAUUCCCACAUUUUCUUAUUAUUCUUCAAAACAGCCCUAAGCAGAGUACACAAUGUUCUAUUGACUACUUCAGUUUGUCCAUCAGCUUGGGGGUGACAAGUAGUACUAAAAAGCAGUUUAGUCCCCAACUUAGCCCAUAAACAUCUCCAAAAGUGGCUAAGAAAUUUAGUAUCACGAUCUGAAACAAUAGUAUUUGGCACACCAUGCAAGCGAAUAAUUUCACGAAAGAACAAAUCAGCAACAUUAACAACAUCAUCGCUUUUAUGACAUGGUAUAAAGUGUGCCAUUUUCGAGAAUCUAUCCACACAACAAAUAUGCUAUCCCUCCCCUUCUUCGUUCGAGGUAAACCUAAAACAAAGUCCAUAGAUCUAUCCUCCCAAGAACACUAGGUACAUGCAAAAGGCAUAUAUAAACCAUGAGGAUUGAGUCGUGACUUAGCUUUUUGACAUGUAGUGCAGCGAGCAACAAAACGCUCAACAUCCCGUCUCAUCUUUGGCCAAAAUAAAUGUGUAGCAAGUACGUCCUCCGUCUUCUUCACGCCAAAGUGUCCCAUUAGUCCUCCUCCAUGCGCCUCCUGCAACAACAAAAGACGAACGGAUCUAGCUGGAAUGCAUAGCUUGUUAGAACGAAACACAAAUCCAUUAUUAACAAUGAACUUGUUCCAUGUUCUACCUUCUUUACAAUUCUGCAAUACAUCUUGAAAUUCAGCAUCAUGCACAUAUUGAUCUUUGAUGGUCUCCAAACCAAAUAUUUUAAAGUCAAGUUGUGAACGCAUAGUAUAAUGAUGAGACAAUGCAUCAGCAAUAACAUUUUCUUUACCCUUCUUGUGUUUAAUGACAUAAGGGAAAGUCUCAAUGAAUUCAAUCCAUUUAGCAUGUCUACGGUUCAGUUUUGCUUGACUUUUAAUGUGUUUCAAAGAUUCAUGAUCAGAAUGUAUAACAAAUUCCUUGGGCCAUAAAUAAUGUUGCCAUGUUUCUAAGGUCCGAACAAGAGCAUAUAAUUCUUUAUCAUAAGUAGAAUAGUUCAGACUAGGCCCACUCAAUUUUUCAGAAAAGUAUGCAACAGGUUUGCCAUCUUGUAAUAACACACCUCCUAAUCCAAUUCCACUAGCAUCAUAUUCAAGCUCAAAAGUCUUAUUAAAAUCAGGAAGUUGGAGUAAAGGAGCAUGUGUCAACUUAUCUUUCAAUAUCGUGAAGGCUUCUUCCUGUGCGGUACCCCAAACAAAAGGCACAUCCAUCUUUGUAAGCUCGUUGAGAGGUGCAGCAAUGGUGCUGAAAUCUCUCACAAAACGCCUAUAGAAACCAGCCAGGCCAAGGAAACUCCUCAAUUGUGUGGCCGUUUUGGGCUGCGGCCAACUCUCAAUAGCUUCAAUCUUGGCUUUAUCAACUUCAAUUCCCUAUGGAGUAACAACAUAGCCAAGAAAAGAUACUCGGUCGGUGCAAAAGGUGCACUUCCCAAGGUUAGCAAACAAACGUGCAUCACGUAGAGCGAUAAAAACAGCACGUAAAUGUUCCAAAUGUUCUUCCAAAGAUUUGCUAUAAAUCAGUAUAUCAUCAAAAUAGACUACCACAAGUCGUCCAAUGAAAGCACGUAAAACUUCGUUCAUUAGUCUCAUAAAAGUUCUAGGCGCAUUAGUUAACCCAAAAGGCAUGACUAACCACUCAUAUAAACCAAACUUAGUUUUAAAUGUUGUCUUCCAUUCAUCUCCCAAUUUCAUACGAAUUUGAUGGUAUCCACUAUGCAAAUCAACUUUGGAGAAUAUUGUAGAGCCACUCAAUUCAUCAAGCAUAUCAUCAAGCCUAGGAAUAGGAUGACAAUAAUGAAUAGUAAUAUUAUUAAUGCCUCUACAAUCAACACACAUACGCAACGUACCAUCCUUUUUAGGCACUAGUAUAAUAGGAACAGCACAAGGACUAAGAGAUUCGCGUAUAUAAACUUUGUCGAGAAGCUCCUGUACUUGACGCAUAAUCUCCUUCGUCUCCUCUGGAUUGGUACGGUAUGGUGCACGGUUGGGUUGCGAAGCACUGGGAAUUAAGUCAAUUUGAUGCUCAAUCCCUCGAAUAGGUGGUAAUCCCGGUGGCACGUCUUGUGGAAAGACGUCAGCAAACUCCUGCAAAAUGUGAGUGACAGCAGGGGGCAAAGAGGAAGGCACGUCCUCGAAUGAAAAUAAUGCCUCUUUGCACAAAAAAGCAUAGCAAACAGAUUUGCUAAAAUCUAGCUCAUCAAUAUCAGAUUUGGUGGCAAUUAAACAUGCACUUUUCAAUUUAAUUUCAGAAACAACAGUAGAUGGUUUAUUAUUAGGCUUCAUUUGGUGCUCAAAUUCUUUUGCCACAAUCUGAUUUUCACUCUUAUUUGUCUCCUGUUUUGCUUUAUUAGGUCUAUUAAUAUCAUCUUUCAAAAUGGAAUCAGGAGUCAUAGGAAGCAAAGUAAUAUUUUUAUCGUUAUGAACAAGAGUAUACUGAUUGUUUCUACCAUGGUGUACAGAAUUUUUAUCAAAUUGCCAUGGUCUACCAAGUAAUAAGGAACAUGCUUGCAUAGGUACCACAUCACAAUCAACAUAAUCAGCAUAUGUAGAGAUACUAAAAUGCACACGAACAGUACGUGUUACCUUAACCUUGCCGCUGUUGUUGAACCAUUGGAUGUAGUAAGGAUGUGGAUGUGGUCUUGUGGUGAGAGAUAGCUUCUCCACCAUAUCCAUGCUAGCCAAGUUGUUGCAACUCCCUCCAUCUAUGAUCAGGCGAACAGAACGUUCCUUCACAACUCCCUUGGUAUGGAACAAAUUAUGCCUCUGAUUUUGCUCAGCUUGUGUAACCUGCACACUCAAAACACGUUGAGCAACUAAACAAUCAUACCUGUCAGCAUCUUCAGGAGCCAUGUAUUGCGUCUCAUGAUCAGAAUCGUCUCCACCGUGUUCGUCACGUGUAAUAAGAGCCAAAGUCUCCUCAUCAUAGUCACUAGCGGACUCAUACCCACCAUCCUCAGUAAUAAUCAUCACACUCUUAGAUGGGCAUUCUCUCGCAUAAUGACCUCCACCCUUGCAACAUCGACAAAUAAUAUCAUGUGUUUGCCCUGUUGAUGCCAUGGAUGAAGAAGAGCUCUUUGCAGGCCCAGAACGUGUGCUCUUGGCAGAUAGUGGUGAUUGUGCCAGCUUUAUUGUAUCACAGUUGGAGGUGGCAGCCGACGGAGGUGCCGGUGUAGCAGAACGUGUGGAAGUAGAUGAUGCACGUGGUGUCCAGGAUGAAGGUCAACCUACAGAAAAGUUAGUAUGCGCCAAUGCCUGUCGACCCUGCACUUCACGUUCAGCUUUACAAGCAAGAUGGAAUAAAUGAGUGAUAUUAGUAUACUCCUAUACUCUAGAAUGGUCUGAAUCUCUCUAUUUAAUCCACCCAUAAAACGUGCAAGCAUAGCUUCAUUCUCCUCAACAAUACCACAUCUAAUCAUGCCAGUUUGCAAUUCCUAAUAAUAUUCUUCUACAGAAUUUUUUCCUUGUCUUAAUCGCUGCAAUUUUUGAAGUAAUUCACGUUGAUAAUAUGGUGGAACCCAACGAGUAUGCAUAGCUGUUUUCAAAGCAUCCCAAGUAGCUGGAAUAGGAUAUAAUCUACAAUGCUUAGACUACCAAACACAUGCAAAACUAGUGAAUGCACAAACAGCAGCAGGAACACAUCUCUCCUCAGGAUAUUGUAAACAUGUAAAUCGUUGUUCAGUUUCUAACUCCCAAGUAAGAUAUGUAUCAGGAACAUAUCUACCCUCAAAUGGUGGAAUAUUCAAUUUUAAUUUAGGGAGAUGGUCAUGAUCUCAUACCUGAGGGUGAGCCCUACCAUUGCCAUUAUUUGCAUGUGGACGACCUGGUGGUUGCUGUGCUGGUGGUGGCACAUAGUUCUGAUUUUGAUCAACCUCAUCCUCGUAAUAUCCCACAUAAUCAUCCUCCUCCACAUCAGCAGUAGGAGCCACAAAAGUAUCAACAGCAGCACCAGCAGUUUGGCCCGGCUGAAGAGGGACACGGCUCGCUCGGCGGAGGGCUGUUUCCCGACGUGGAGGUAGUCAGUGUUGUUGCUGUUGUUGCAGAGGAGCGGCAGGAGCAGCCGGUGGUGGUGGUGGAAAAUGCGAAAGCAAUUCAGCAAACUUGUUAUCGAGCUUUGUUUCAAACGUCUUCUCCAUGCCAUCUAUCUUCUCCAUGGCCUCUUCAAAUCUGUUUAGCACAUCUUGCACCUGUCCACUCAUCAUUUGCUGAAACUUAUCAUGAAGCUCCUUGUUCGUCAAGUUCUCCCAGUCAGUCUCGUCGGCUUGUGAUCCUGGCAUGGUUAGCAGCAAUAGAAACACACAAGAAUAUGAUCCUAUAGACUACUAACAAGUAGUGGUGGUGGCGGGUGUCACAAAUCCGUCAAGCAAAUCUCAAAUUCUUACCAGUUCUUACCCAGCAGCAGGCGGUGAUCGGCAACCGUUGUAGUCAAAACUCCCAAAAGCUUGGAUAGAGCGAUUGCCAGGGAGAGUCAAACACACGACGUAGAUGUAUGUGGAGCUGGGAAGGCUUAUAGUAUGGUAGCAAAAAGGGUCAGCAAUAAUCAAUUCAGAGAUGCAAAGUUGAAUAAAUGCUCAACGACGGUACUGUGCUGGUCCUACGCUAGACCGUGCUAGAGACGCGAGCCUAGAACACUAACAAAAUCACGGCGCUGCAUGUGAACAAGGGAAAAGCACACUCUAGAAAAAAAAUUCGCUCUUUUUUUUGCGCUCCUUUUUUUGCGCUCCUCUUUUUUUUGUGAAAAAUCACUAUAAUGGAGAGUGUCUCAAAACUCUUCCCUCAUCAAACUGAUAGGAUGGGCACGAAAUUUUUUUUGAUUUUUUUUUCCGGAAAUCAGGGCAGCGAUGACGAAAAAGUGCGACAAAAAAUCACUAUGAUGGCACAUGGCUCAAAAGACUCAGAAAAGCCUAAAAAUAGGAUAGGGAAAAAAUAUUUUUGGUCGCCGAAAUUUUGGCCUAAAAACUGCCCGGGGGUCUCCAGACUCUUUUUUUUUCUGAGAUCUACGCAGGCAAGGAAACAGGAAUCGGAAUUUAGAUUGAUCUCAAAAACAAACCUAAUAUGAGAAGAACUCGGAUUGGUGGUGGAUAUAUGGUUGUGGUAUAUGGCAGCGGUGGUGGUAUAUGGAUACAGAUUGGUGGUGGUAUGUGGAUACGGAUUGGUGGUGAUAUAUGGAUACGGAUUCAGAGCGGUGGCGGAUAAGCAAUGGUGGUAGAUGGCAAGGCGAUGAUGAUGGUGCGGCGGCGGCGUGACAACUUAUGACCAGAACUCAAAACUCUAAAAGACUAGACUCUAAGAGCAACAACUUGACACGAGAUGCAACCGCAAAUUCAACAAAGCAAAAACCCUAAAAAGAUUAUGCAAAGGCUCAGAUUGGUUCGGAUAUGAUGAACUAACCCUAAUUUUUUGUUUGUGGCUUUUUCGUGGACUGUAGGUAUGAAGAACAGACUCGAUCUAAUCUACGAAAAACUGUAAAAUCUCACCGAGCAACCUGGAAAUCUGAUACCACUUGAUAGAGGCAAACGUGUCCCGAUGUUUCAAUGAGAUGGUGGCUAUCAUUUCUGUGGGAGUCGACCUUGACGAUCCGACUACGAACGUGCGAGACGUCGCGCCUUAGCAAUCGCUAAACCAACUUCCGAGGGGUUAUUGACCACACCGGAGCACGAUCAACCUAACCACGAGGGUCUGUUUCCAGAAAGCAAACGAAGAACAAGCAAGAAACUGAGAUUGCAAUCUGGAUAUUGCGAAUAUAGGAUGAAAGCUUUAUUGAUCAAGGUGGGGUUCUGUGACGUCUUGGUCUGGUCGUUGGACAGAAACGAAGUACGCGAAGUUGCAGCUAUGGCGAACUUUUAAUCUAAACAAAACCCAAAGUCUAAACGACUCCCUAAGGGCUGUAUAUAUGGAGGAAGAGGGUGGAAUUUCGUGGCCCUUGAGGAUAGGGUCCGAAACCAACCCUAACUCUUGUUUCCCCACACAUACGGACUCUGAAAAUAGCCUAUACUUAAGUAUUUCGAAAUUACAUGGGCCUGGCCCAAUAAUAAGGUGACGUAGCACCUAGAAUAGCCUAUGGACGAAUAUUAUGAAGUGGCAUCUUGUAUAUUUCGUCCAAGGCUUCAUGCACUCCUUAUGGUGGCUUCAAAGUCCUGAAAUCAUCAUUUGUAACUCAGUUCUUCAUCCUUCUCCAAGCUAGGCCCUUCAUUUGUAAGCAAAACAAAUGUAUCCAAUUUAGGCAGCAUCAUAUUCUCAUGAACAUUAGAAUCAUUACCAAGAAACGAAAGUACCUGGUAAUUUAAUUGGCGUGCGCGAGCUCUAGUAAUUGGUCUAGUAUAUGUAACAGUAGGGGAUGUGGAAGUAACAAUGGUAUUGAUGUCCUCAUCAGAGAACCUCCGGCCUGCCUGGACCUUCUGGCCCCCGGAUGCCAGCACAUCUCCACCGCGCCAACUCUCUGCUUAGGCCAGACCCUCCCCGGAACCUCCGGCACCCGGAACUUCCAGCCUAGCCCGGAACUUCCGGCCCUGCCUGCGCGCAGCCACUUGGGCCGAGGCCUGUGUACCCUUUCGUCACCUAGACUAUAUAUACUUUAUCCCGUACGACUUUCUAGGGUUAGCGUUGGUUUAACUCAUACUCAGAGAUAGAGCUUGGCUCAUCCACAUCGGAUCUACUCCUCGUGAGAGACCGCGGCCCCUCUUCGGAGAAGAUCCACUUGGAUUCAAGACCUCCUCGCGGAGAAGAUCCCCCCGUGGAUUCAAGACCUCCUCACGGAGAAGAACCGGCUACCCUUUUAUAUCGUCCUUAGUUGUCCGUGGAUUCGUGUAUCAUUCUAUGUGCCCAAGGAUCUAGCACAUGUGUGACUUGCUCUUGUUAGUUUGAGUGUUCCUCUUGUAUUUUCCCUUGUGUUUUCCCUCGUUUCCCUACUCGUGUUUUUCGCGUUCUUCGCGGGAUCCGCUCCUUUCGUGAAAGAUCGGGUGAUUAGGGUUCCAACCUACAUCAUCUUGGUAUCUAGAGCAAGGUUGAUCACGAUUUCGGAGCCUCCCCGUUGUGUUUCUAGCCUAAUUUUGUUGUUUUUCGUCCUAAUGAGAAAAUCCCCACCAAAAAUAGCCCCAAAUUUUUUUUGUGAUUUGUUCGUGUGUUGAGAUUUUGUUGCUUUUGAUCCGUGAAUUUUGUGUGUGGCUCGUAGAUCUAGCCUCCCCACCCUUCUUUUCCUCCAAUUUCUUCUUUUUCCCCUUCGGAUUUGGGCUUUUUCCCCAAGUUUUUCCGCCCAAAUCCAUGAUCCCAAAGUCUCUGUUCUUGGCAGAAUCCCGGCCACCGGAACUUCCGGUCCAGCCCCGACAUUCCAGCCCCCGGACCUUCCGGCCUUCCCAGGAACCUCUGGACCCCGGACCCUCCGUCUUGCCCGGAACUUCCGGCUUCGACAGAAAGUUCGCACUACUUCCACAACUCCGCCCAAAUUCCACUAACUUUUGUUUCGGUGCUCACCAUAUACCAUAUAUACUUCUGCAUACCUCCACCACUUCCGCAUAACUCACCAUCUUUGGACCGUUUUACUCUCCAACACAAUUGCACUUUGAGGUUUGAGAAUUUGAGUUGCGGUACUGUAUCCUUUUUUGUUUCGGCUAUCUAGGUACGGUUCGACAUCAACAUCACCGCCGCACAUCUUCGCCAUGGACGCGUCAUCAACAACGACCACCAAGACUACGACUUGGUAUUCGUGCCACCAUUUUGACACCAUUCCGGAAGCAAGACCGGUAACCUCAUCUUGGUAUUGGACAUAUCACUCUUGCCACUACAUUGAUAGCCAUCAUAGCCUUACUCCUUUGCGUUGCUUACCCAUCGAGACUAGCCAUUGAGUAUUGCCGACAACGAGACUUGUGCACAUUAGUGAUCAUACUUCCCAUAGCAUACAUACAUCAUUGUUGCCUAUAUUGGUAUCAUCUCUUGUGUCACAAAGUUGUCAUCGCAUACUCGCUUGCUAUCAUGGUUCGUCAAGCAUUGCAUGAGAAAAGAGCUCAAACAUCAAAGAGCCAACCAAGCUUUUAAGCAAAGAGGAAAGAUAAGAAAAGAGCUUUUAAGCAAGAACCAUAGCAUCAUACAACAUUACGAUUGUCAUACUCGAUCAUCUUGGAUCAUAUCAUAGCAGCACCUUGCAUUCAAAAUAUUUGGGAUAGAAGUCGUCGCAUUUUUUCUAAAUAGGUUGUGCACCAGUUCUUGUAUCCACCUAUCGUGCAAUCGUGCUAGCCUCUCUCUAGUGUUGUGCAACAAGAGCAUUUUUGUGGAUUCCACAUUUUGGAUCACCCUUGGUUGCACAACCCCACUUAUCUUUUUGCGUGUGUGUUUCUGUGUACCUUAUAUGCUUGGUCUACUUGUUACAUUGCAUCUUGCGAAUCUUUUCCAACAUUAUUGAAGCUCACUUACAAUUGCAUCAAAUUUUGUGCCACGAUCCUAACCAAGCUCCACCAAAAGCUUUUACUUGUGUAGGUCUGAGAAACCGACAAGAACUCGUACCAAUUGUGCCAUUUCCUUGUCCUACAUUGGAGUGAUCCUCGAUCCACUUUCAACUUCAGUCAAGGUACAUUUGGUACUCGUUCCUCUCUUUCUACCACUCACAUUUGUCUUGGAAUGAUGGAUAGGCCAAGUACUUCUACCAACCCACUCUUCAUGGAGCAAGACGACGACAUGAACUCCUUCGUCACCAAGAGUCAUCUCUUUGGUGCACAACGUGCUUUGCAUCAAGAGCAACAAACUAUGAGUGAACGCAUCGACAACCUUGCCACCGACUUGCGACUUUCCGAGCAACGUACAAGGGACUACUUCGACCACAAGCUCGACGAUCACAAGCAAGAGAAUGACGCAAGGAUGGACGAGAUUCGCGCUUUGUUGCUCAACCGCUCUUCUUCCACUUCAAGAAGGAGUCGUUCAAGUCGCCAUUCCGACUCAAGUACACCGACAUCGAACACUCUUCGUCGAGCCGCGCGCACCGACCGUCAAGCAAACCUCAAUCCGCUUUGGGAUACCGACCCUCAAGAGCGCCGACAACGUCAAGCCGAAGAAGCCUUUGCGCUGGCUCGCAAACGACAACAACAACGCCAACAUGAAGAGGAAGAACGCGCGCGUCUACACCAAAAUGCACAUGAUACCGAGGCUCAACGCCAAGCACAACAACUCCAUGAUGCUCAAGCACUUGAGGUGCAACAAGCUCUACACGAUGCGAGUCGAGCCGUUGCUGACCGAGGCCGACAAGCCCGUGAAGAAGAGGAAGCACUUCGCGAAGAAAUUCACGAGCGAAAAUUUCAAGCUCGCAUGCAUCAUCUAGUGCCACCUCGAGCUCGACGCGUUCCUCCACAAGCUCGCCAACACCACCAAGUUCAUCGAGAGGAGGAAGACAAUGGAAAUCUUCCGCGACAUGAUCAACACGAGGUUGACAACCCUCCGCGCCAAGAGCACCACGAGUUGGACAAUCAUCUUCAACAUGGGCGUCAUCAUCCCCGACCCCAACACAAUGAAGAGCAACGCUACGGCAAGCUCAAGUUCACCAUGCCCAAGUUCAACGGAAGCAACGAUCCCGAAGAGUACCUUUCAUAGGCAUUGAAAGUUGACAAGAUUUUCCGUUUGCACAAUUAUGACGAAGAGAAGAUGAUCGCAAUGGCAUCCCUUGAGUUCCAAGACUAUGUGCUUAUUUGGUGGGAACAAGUCAUUGAGCGCCGAGAGGCAAGAGGUGAACCACCCAUCACUACUUGGGUGCAAAUCAAGGAUGUCAUGAGAGCACGCUUCGUUCCUACCUACUACAACCGCGAUCUCUUCAAGAAACUCCAACAACUCAAGCAAGGAACCAAGAGCGUUGAAGAGUACUACAAGGAGAUGGAGAUUGCCAUGAUACGAUCCAAUGUCGCGGAAGAUGAUGAGCAAACAAUGGCACGUUUCUUGAAUGGACUCAAUCAUCCUAUCAAGAAGAUCGCCGACUUCCAACCAUACUCAAAUCUCAUCGAGCUAGUGCACAAAGCUACCAAAGCGGAACGCCAAGUGCAAGAUGAUUUCAAGAAUGCCAAGUUCUCAUCCAAGUCCUACGACUUCUCCAAUAACCAAGCUUCAAUGACUACAAGACCUUCUACUUCCAACAUUGACAGGUCGACUUCCAAGAAAGCUUCGCCAACUGCAAGCAACCAUACUACGGGCAACUUCAAGCCGAGAGCUUCAUCAUCAUCAACCCCAACCGAUGAGAACAUCAAGACGAGUUCCUUCAAGUGUUUCACUUGCGGAGGCCGAGGCCUCAAGUCCUACGAGUGCACCAACAAGCGAACCAUGGUCUUCAACGACGAUGGCACUUAUGACUCCAUGAGCAACGGCGAAAUGGGAGCCCUCGAGCAAGACGCCAUGCAACGCCAAGUGAACAAUGAAUAAGAACAAGUCUUUUGUGAUGAAGACUCAAGUCCCGCACUUGUUGUCUCCAAAGUCUUGACUCUCCAACAUCACCAAGAAGAAGACCAACGAUGCCACAUAUUCCACACCAAGGCUAGCAUCAAUGGACGAUCCACCAAGGUCAUCAUCGAUGGAGGUUGUUGUCAUAAUCUCGCAAGUGAAGAACUUUGCUCCAAGCUCUAAUUUCCCAAGACGAAGCAUCCACAUCCAUACAAAGUGCAAUGGCUUAGUGAUUCCGGCACUAUCCAAGUCAAGCACCAAGUACAAGUCUCCUUCAAGAUCAGCGCCUACGAAGACACCUUGGAGUGCGACAUCGUUCCAAUGACCGUUUGUCAUCUUCUCCUUGGACGACCAUGGCAAUUCGAUAGAGGAGUCGUCCACAACGGCCGAACGAACCACUACAUCUUCAAGAUGAAGGGCAAGGAGUACAUCCUCCGUCCAAUGUCGCCAAGUCAAGUGAUCGCCGACAAGCAAGCCACCCAUCAUGGAGAUCAUAGUGAGAGAGCGAGCCACCAAAACAAGAGUGGGCGCCACAAGCCAAAAUCGAGUGCCUCCACGAUGAGCGAAAACAAGAACCUAGUUCUAUUUGCCACCAAACGUGAGAUGAGAGAAGUGUGUGAGAACCCAUCUAGUGUCCUACACUACGUCCUCGUGUGCAAGGACAAUGCACCACAAACUAACACCUCUCACACUCUUCCUCUAGUGUUGUCUUCUCUUUUGCAGGAAUUUCAAGAUGUUUUCCCCGAUGAGCUACCUCCGGGACUACCUCCACUUCGAGGCAUUGAGCACCACUUCCAAACAAAGCUCCCUACCGCGUCAACCCCGACGAAACAAAAGAAAUACAAAGGCAAGUAAAGCAUCUCAUAGACCAUGGACAUGUGCGUGAAAGUUUGAGCCCUUGUGUCGUUCCGGUCAAUCUUGUGCCAAAACGUGAUGGUAGUUUUCGCAUGUGCUCCGAUUGUAGACCUAUCAAUGCUAUCACCGUUCGCUAUAGGUAUCCCAUACCAUGCCUAGAUGCUAUGCUUGAUGAGCUUAGCGGUGCCACUAUAUUUUCUAAAAUUGAUCUUAAAAGUGGUUACUAUCAAAUCCGCAUACAAGAGGGUGAUGAAUGGAAAACCGCCUUCGAAACCAAGUUUGGUUUGUAUGAGUGGUUAGUCAUGCCUAUGGGUCUUUCGGAAGCGCCGAGCACUUUUAUGCGCCUUAUGAAUCAUGUAUUUCGCCCUUACAUUGGUAUAUUUGUUGUGGUUUACUUUGAUGACAUUCAUGUGUUUAACAAAUCUAUUAUAGAGCAUGUCACCCAUGUCCGCACCGUUUUGCAAACUCUUAGAAAAGAGCGACUCUAUGCUAAUAUGGAGAAAUGCCUUUUUGGUGUUGAUAAGCUCGUUUUCUUGGGUUUUGUUGUUUCUGCUAAGGGUGUUCAUGUUGAUGAGUCCAAGAUAAAUGCUAUUAAGACUUGGCCGCAACCAACCAACUUGCAUCAAGUGCGUAGUUUUCUUGGCCUUGCGGGUUUCUAUCGUCGCUUUGUAAAGGAUUUUAGCACCAUUGCUUCGCCUUUGCAAGCUUUGAGCAAGAAGAAUGCGCCUUUUGUUUGGGGACCAUCCCAAGAUACCGCAUUCAAUGAGCUUAAGAAUUUGCUUACUCAUGCUCCCGUCCUUGCUUUACCCAACUUCGAGAUGCCUUUUGAAAUUCAUUGCGAUGCUAGUGGUAAUGGAAUAGGAGGUGUGUUAACGCAAGAGAAGCGCCCCGUAGCUUACUUUAGUCAGAAACUUUCCGGACCGCAACUCAAUUAUCCCAUCUAUGACAAAGAGCUAUAUGCUUUAGUCCGCGUUUUGCAUGAAUGGGAACACUACCUUCGUCCCCAUGAGUUUAUCAUUCAUACCGAUCAUGAGACUCUCAAGUAUCUUACGGGACAAACUAAGUUGAACAAGCGUCAUGCUAAAUGGAGUGAAUUUAUUGAGUCUUUUCCAUAUGUCAUCAAGUACAUCAAGGGUAAAGAAAACAUAGUAGCGGAUGCUCUUUCUUGCAUUUGCAUGCUUGUCACGCAACUUGAGUUAGAUGUCAUUGGCUUCAAGCAUAUCAAGGACUUAUAUGAGCAUGAUGCAACUUUUGCCAUUCCUUAUGUCAAGUGUUUGUCGAAUACAUCUUCGGAACGCUAUUGCAUCAAAGAUGGCUACCUUAUGAGAGCUAACAAACUUUUCAUUCCCGCGUCCUUUCUUCGCUUGUUGCUUUUGCAGGAAUCCCAUGGAGGAGGCUUAAUGGGACAUUUCGGACGUGACAAGACGUUCGCCACGCUCUCGAAAAGCUGCUUUUGGCCUAAGAUGUUUCGGGAUGUCAAUCGUUUCACCAACCGGUGUUCUACAUUUCGCAAAGCUAAGUCCAAAGCUCAAUCUCAUGGUCUCUAUAUGCCUUUACCAAUUCCCUACCAGCCUUGGGAAGACAUUAGCAUGGACUUUGUACUUGGUUUGCCUAGGACUCGCAAUGGGAAAGAUUCCAUAUUUGUCGCUGUGGACCGUUUCUCAAAAAUGGCACAUUUUAUUCCUUGCCACAAGAUAGACGAUGCUUCACAUGUUGCUAAUCUCUUUUGUAGGGAAAUUUUGCGUCUCCAUGGUGUGCCAAAAACCAUCCUCUCGGACCGCGAUGUCAAGUUCCUUAGCUACUUUUGGAAGACCCUAUGCGCCAUGCUCGGAAUCAAGCUACUCUUCUCCACGGUGUACCAUCCUCAACCGACGGCCAAACGGAGGUGACAAACCGCACACUCUCCGCUCUACUUUGAGUAGUCAUCAAGAAGAACAUCAAGGAGUGGGAGGAGUGUCUACCCAUCGCCGAGUUCGCCUACAACCUAUCAAGACACUCAACAACCGGCACGUCCCCUUUCGAGGUCGUCUACGGAUUCAACCCUUUGUCACCAUUGGAUAUUCUACCUCUACCACUCCAAGAGCGAAUCAAUUUGGACGCAAGUGCAAGAGUGACCCAUAUCAAGAAUAUGCAUGAAGAUAUAAGAAACACCAUCGAGCGCCAAGUACAACACCUUGCGACCAAGCUCAACGUCAACAAGCAACCUAUGGUCUUCAACAUUGGUGAUCUCGUGUGGCUACACCUUCGCAAGGAGCGCUUUCCACAAGAACGCAAGUCUAAGCUUCGACCACGAGCAGAUGGACCCUUCAAGGUGCUCGCACACUACAACGACAACGCUUACAAGAUCGACCUCCCGCGCGACAAGUACAACGUGAGCGACAUCUUCAACAUCAAAGAUCUCUCUCCCUUCGAUGGUGAUGUAGAACUCGAUCCGAGGACGGAUCUUCCCCAAGGGAGGGGAGAUGACGCGGAGUAUCCCACGACCAUCCCCAUGGAUGCCACCUCAACUUUCCAAGCUCCAAGUGGACCAAUGACAAGGGCUAGGGCACGUGCUAUUCAAUCCGAGGUGACAUCACUCCUACUUGAGUUUCCCCCCUCUUCAAGUGAGACAUGGCUACUGCCUAAGUCCGAGAUACUAUGUGUCAUCAGGUACAACGCUCAACACUCAGAGCCGGGGAUUGUAGAAGAAGAGACAGGUGUCAACACUCUGGACAGCCCAGAACUUUCGGCUCCCGGAGCUUCUGGCUGACCCGGAGCUUCCGGCCACCGAGGACUUCGACCAGCCCAGGUGUGCCAACUCUCGGGUUAGCUCGGACCCCGUCUCGGACCUUCCGGCCCCUGAAUGCCAGCACAUCUCCACCGCGCCAACUCUCUGGUUAGGCCGGACCCUCCCCAGAACCUCCGGUGCCCGGAACUUCCGGCCUAGCCCGGAACUUCCAGCCCUGCCUGCGCGCAGCCACUUGGGCCGAGGCCCAUGUACCCUUUCGUCACCUAGACUAUAUAUACUCUAUCCCAUACGACUUUCUAGGGUUAGCGUUGGUUUAGCUCAUACUUAGAGAUAGAGCUUCGCUCAUACACAUCGGAUCUACUCCUCGUGAGAGACCGCAUCCUCUUCAGAGAAGAUCCCUUUGGAUUCAAGCCCCCUUUCUAAGGGAAGAUCCCCCCGUGGAUUCAAGAUCUCCUCACGGAGAAGACCGGCUACCUUUCUAUCGUCCUUAGUUGUCUGUGGAUUCGUGUAUCGUUCUAUGUACCCGAGGAUCUAGCACAUGUGUGACUUGUUCUUGUUAGUUUGAGUGUUCCUCUUGUGUUUCCCCUUGUGUUUUCCCUCGUUUCCCUCCUCGUGUUCUUCGCGUUCUUCACGGGUGAUUAGGACAUCAAUACCAUUGUUACACCUACAGCCCCUGCUGAUGUACAUACUGGACCAAUUACUAGAGCUCGCGCACGCCAAUUGAAUUAUCAGGUACUUUCGUUUCUUGGUAACGAUUCUAAUGUUCAUGUGAAUAUGAUGCUGCCUAAGUUGGAUACAUUUGUUUUGCUUAAAAAUGAAGGGCCUAGCUUGGACAAGAAAGAUGAACCUUGGAGCAAGUUCAAGCAUGGAGAUGAUGGCAUGCGCAAGGGGAACAAGAACAGAGUUACAAGUGAUGAUUCCAGGACUCUGAAGCCACCAUAAUGAGUGCAUGAAGCAUGGGAUGAAAUAUACAAGAUGCCACUUCAUAAAUUUUGUCCAGAGGCUAUUCUAGGUGCUGCGUCACCUUAUUAUUGGGCCAGGCCCAUGUAUUUUCGAAAUACUUAAGUAUAGGUGGAAAUUUGACCCGCUUCCAGCUGAAUCGGUGGAAAUUUGUCUUUUUCACGAGAGGUGGAUCAAAAAAAUUUACACGCAACCAUUUUGUCAAUUGUGCAUUAAAUAUGGCCUAGUAUUUUAUAAAAAUGAAUUGGUCCAAUUUUGCAAUAAUUAUUUGGUAGUUCCUUCACAAAACAUCCUCCUUUUGGGCACUCGGAAAAUGGAAAAUGGUUUUUUCGUCCAACGAAAAUGAAAACUUCCUUAGGCAACAUUGUUUGCCAUUCCAAUAUGCACCCUUGUGCACAAUAUGAGAUCAUUUGAACAAACUAUGCCAUGAAUGUGGCCAUAAGAUUGAUCAUUUGGCUUGAAAGCCAUUGACCUUCACACAUGAUAGAUCAUUUCUGAGAACACUUUUUUAAAAUAAUUAUCAUAUUACAAGUUUAUUAUUUUUCCCGGAAACUUAAUCACAUAUAAUGAGACAAUGCGAAGGUUUUCCAAUUUUUUGAUUUUUUUUGAAUUUUUUAUGCCCGUUUCGAAAUGUGGUCAAAACGGCGGGCUUGACCGUUCCUAGGUAGCGGUUGAAUCUUGGAAUUUUUUUGGUGUUUCUCUGAUUAAAUAGAUACUUAUGUACCUAUAAAUGAUUUUUGGAAAAAAUAAAGAGCAAACUACGAGGUAGCUACAGUUCAAAUUUGACCCGCUUCCAGCUGAAUUGGCGGAAAUUUGUCUUUUUCACGAGAGGUGGAUCGAAACUUUUUACACCCAACCAUUUUGUCAAUUGUGCAUUAAAUAUGUCCUAGUAUUUUAAAAAAUUAUUUGGUCCAAUUUUGCAACAAUUAUUUUGGAGGUCCUUCACAAAAAACCUCCUUUUGGGCACUCGAAAAAUGGAAAAUGGUUUUUUCGUCCAAAGAAAAUGAAAACUUCCUUAGGCAACAUUGUUUGCCAUUCCAAUAUGCACCCUUGUGCACAAUAUUAUAUCAUUUGAACAAACUAUGCCAUGAAUGUGGCCAUAAGAUUGAUCAUUUGGCUUGAAAGCCAUUGAUCUCCACACGUGAUAGCUCGUUUCUGAGAACACUUUUUUAAAAUAUUUGCCGUAUUACAACUUAAUUAUUUUUCGUGGUAACUUGGUCACAUAUGAUGACGCAAUGUGAAGGUUUUCCAAUUUUUUGAUUUUUUUGAAUUUUUUAUGCCCGUUUCAAAAUGCGGUCAAAACGGCGGGAAUGACCGUUCCUAGCUAGUGGUUGAAUCUUGGAAAACUUUUGGUGUUUCUCUGAUUAAAUAGAUAGUUAAGUACCUAAAAAUGAUUUUUGGAAAGAAUAAAGAGCAAACUAUGAGGCAGCUGCUGUUCAAAUUUGACCCGGUUCCAGCUGAAUCAGAAAAAAUGUCUUUUUCACGAAUGGUGGAUCAAAGUUUUUGACACCCAACCAUUUGGUCAAUUCUGCAUUAAAUAUGGCCUAAUAUUUUAGAAAAAUUAUUUGGUCCAAUUUUGCAACAAAUAUAUGGUAGCUCCUUCACAAAAAAGACUCAUUUUGGGCACUCGAAAAAUGGAAAUUGUUUUUUUUUCAGAAGAGGUGGAUCAAAAGCUUUUGACAUGCAACUAUUUGGUCAAUUUUACAUAAAAUAUGGUCUAAUAUUUUAUAAAAAAUGGAGUGGUGCUAUUUUGGAACAAAUAUUUGGUAGGUUCUUAAAAAAAGCAUUUAUGCACGCGGAAAAUAGAAAAAUAUUAUUUAUGUAAUAAAAAUUAAAGCUCUAUUUGGCAACAUUGUUUGCCAUUUCAAUAUGCACACUUAUGCAAAUACGAGAUCAUUUUGACGAACUAUGCCAUCGUUAUGUUUUUAAAAAGAAGGAGAGAUUUGAGUCCAAUUUUUUGAAAUUCAAGUGCGAGACAGCCGACCAAUGAGACGUGAGGAAUCACCUUCACGCGGAUCAUCUGAUUGGACGCAAUAUGAGCCGUCUAUCGCGCACCCAUCCAACGGUGGAGCUUCUCCCGAGUAACAAAAACCCUAACCCACCCACCCACCCUCCUCGAUACCCGCCGCCGCCACCCCCCACCCACCCUCCUCGAUCCUGACGCACCCAUUCUCUGUGCUCCCUCCCUCCCUCCCGAUGCGGCCGCUCUCUCUCCCCCGACGCGCCGCCGUCCGCACCUCCCGACGCGCCGCCGUCCUCCGCCUUCCCCUGCAUUCCGCUCAGCCACCGCCCUCUCCUCCUCCCCCCACCCUCCUCCAUGGUGAAUCCACCUCCAGAUCGAGAAGGGGAGGCAGCAUACGUCGCAUCCACGCACCAGAUCGAGCAGCGGCGCCCCCAGAUCGAUCCAUCUCCAUCGUCCUCAUGGUUGACGCCCAUGUCCUCCUCAAGGAUAGCCGUCUCCGUGCUCCACCACCAUCCUUUCCCUCCUCCCUCACCGCAUCUCACAUGGCGCUGGGAUCUUCCAGAUCGAGCGCCGGCAGGGUAGGCGCCUCCGCCGCCCAAGUCCAAAACCCCGCCUCCGCCGCCGGCAGGGAUCUUCCAGACCAGCGCAAGGUCUUCCGCGUCACUAACCACGCCGGGGUCGCGCUCGCCGGCCUCACCACCAUCUUCCUCCACGAGCUGCAGCCCAUCCUCGCCAACCACCUGCAGACCUAGACCGCCACCACCGGCAACGCAUGUGUCGUGGCCUGCGGUGCCGCCGCUGCCGAGGACCACCUCUUCAAGGUACGCACACAACGCGCCCACCAUCAUUGCCAUUUCAAAGAGACCAUAUGCAUCAGUCAGUGUGGACACAUCUGUAAUUUCGAGUGUCUGAACAUUGUUCCUGCUCUAUGUCUGUCUAUCUCAGGGGUCGCAGGAGCAGCCGGGCCUGGUCACCAUUGCCAUGGAGGAGAUCCUCCGGUUCGUGGCGUCCGUCGGCGGCGCCGUCUGGGUGUCGUCGUACCAGGUGGUGCAGGACACCCACGUCUUUGAUCUGCUUGAUCUGCUUGAGCCGUCAUGGUUUUUAUCUGUCUUCCUUUGCAGGCUCAUGUCAAGUCAGUUGAGGAUUUCGCGCGGCUGGGCUGUUUCAAUGAGAACCAGGACAAGCAGCAGCCCGCCAAAGCUUCUUCCACCCAACACCAGCCCACUAAACUGACUAGUUUUUCAUCUCUUGUGUGAAACUUGUACCCUACUCGAAGAUGCCACCAUCAAGUUAAUAAUAACACUAAACUGGUAUAUGUAAUUAUAGCCAGACAAUUUAUCGCAUCGUACUAUAAAAAUGUGUAAUCAGUAAGCCUAAAAGCCGCUAAACUGGUAUAUUCAUCAUUGGAGUUCAUUGGAAUAUAAUAAGAAACAAAGAUGAAUCUAUUUCUGCUAUGUGCUGCCUUUGUGCAUAGAUGUAUCUUCAUGAGUCGCAAAACUCUUGACAUGCUUAUGCUAUAGUUGAUUUUCCUAGGUUGUAGUUUGUUCCAUAUCGUGUAAGGUUGUAUUGUAUAAUCUGCAUUAUAAGUGUGGUUUCUAAUGUGCUUAUGCUAGAUUAAUGCAUCAACCUGACAUGUUACAAACCUUGAGCCAGAACCUAUGGCAUCUCAUUUUAAAUGGUAAUCAUUGUUGUUAAAAUGCUACUGUUUGAUUUCAUACAAGUGUGUGCCCCCAACUGUUGUAUAGUUGUAUCCAUACUUCUGAGCAUAUUAUUGUCUAGCCUCUUUUGUGAUUAGUCCUCAUUUUUAAUGAAUUUACUGUUUAUCUAAGAUCAUUUGAAGUUUUGAGCUGGCACCUAGCUAGCCUCUUUUGUGAUUAGUCCUCAUUUUUAAUGUCAUCCACACUAUUUUUUUGUUAAUUUUGUUCCUUGUAUGAACAACCUUAUAAUUUUGGUGGAUGCACAUGUGGGUGGCAGGAGGGCUAGUUCAUGUAGCUUACUUCCUGUUUGUCAUUUUGGUGGCUUGCCAUUUUAUUUACAGCAUUGUGGAUGAUGCCAUUAUCCUAGUUUUCACAUUUAUAUUAGUCACUUAAACAAGGCUCGGUUAAGUUGAGUUGUUCUGCUGCUGAUGGCAAUACAAGCCAAUAGAUCUCACAUGCAAAAAUUCAACAGAUUUUGCUAGGUUAAUAUUGAGUUGGGGCAGCUGCCUGCAUAUGCAAAAAUUCAACAGAUUUACAGCAUUGUGGAUGAUGCCAUUAUCCUAGUAAUGAUGCAGAGAUACUUACUUGUGCAGGCAAAGGUACAUACUAUUGAUGCCAUUGAAUUGAUCAGUUGUCAUAUAUACAAGGAUGAAUAUAGCCGUUUAGUUAGUUUCCAUGAUUGGUUUAUUUGUGAUUCGUUCUAUCUCUGAUGGUUACCUUGCUUGUGUCUAAACCUGUAUGAUAAGCUAAUAUAUUUUCCAGAAGUGGCUUGGGAACCUCUUUGGUUCCGACUAGCCACCUAUUACGCAGCUAGUUCCAUGAGUAUUUAGUCUUCUGUCCCCUUUUCUGGUACUGAUUUGCCACAUAAUGUUCAUGAUGCAUCAUAUCUCAUGUUGAAGUACUUUGCUGUGAUGCUUUGUUUUGGGGUCAGUCAGUAGUACUCUGAACAAGAGCAUAAACAUAUAUGAUUGUGUUAUAUUAAUUGACUGCAUGCCCUCUUGGAUUCUAUUUUUGUCUGCUGCAUGUGUGCUGAUAGUUUUUGCAUAGUGUUGGCCGUGGGGUCUGGCCAGCGAUGUCGGGUCGUUGGUCGGACAGACGAUCAGAUUUAUUUUUGGUACAUUUCGUUGAUUGCUGGUACUGUGUUGACGCAACCUCGAAUGCCUUGCCCGUUACGCCGUUGCUCCUCUUUCUUAUCUGCUUUGAUUGUAGGUAUGCAGAGCCAAAUCGUGUGCCACCGUUGCCGAAGGGUAUUGGCCUACCUGUCAGGGCGCCCAGCGUGUGCAGCGCCAUGUGCCAAGCCAUCACCGCCGUGCCACCCCCAGCGCCAGGUACUGUGUGCAGCCUGAUUUCCUUUCAAUUGUUCUGCUCUUUUCGUGUUGGCAUCGCCUCACAACGUGUAUAACCAUCCUGAUGUUCAACUCUGGGAAUGUUGCUUUGGAAGUAGGAUGGAGUUUUGCAUUGUAUGAUGAAUGUUAUAAAAAUUAUGUAGAAACAUUUGUGAGGAGUACAUGCCAGAUAAAGAGUUACCAUGGGAUUCAAAUUUCACUCUUCCCACAUGCAUGUUUAGUAUGGUCAGAUUCUUUUCUAUGUUUACUUCAGUUCAAGCUUCUGCGCACCUAGGUUCACUAUCUGCUGCUUGUAGGAUACUUACUCCAUGGCUAAUAAUAUCAGCGCGAUGGAUAAAUCUUAUGUUGCACCCUUUCAUUUGUUCUCAAGAGGCCAAGUGGAUUUCUGCAAAAAGCAUAGAGAAGUAUUGUAAAUUCAUAGGAAAUAACAAAAUUGUUUAAAGUUUAUUUGGGUUGGAUCUGUAUAUACACUAUUUUCUUAAAACACAAACCUAUACAUUCACAGCUGAAUAGAUGAUACAUUUUUUUGGAUCUGUACAUGCAAUUUUUUGCAUUGGAUUGGUGGUUAGUUUUAUGUACCUUUGAAUUAUAACAGAAUAGCAUUAGUAGUGCUCUGAUUUAGUUCUCAUCAAAAUCAACAGCCCUCUCUUGUGUUCCUGUUAUGAGAAUUGUUCCUUCAAGGAUAUGCCAAAAUGUGUACACUCAAAUCUCUAAUGAUGUUUGUCUUUGUGUUCAGGAGCUCCAGUUCUACAAAAUUUGAAGUUCGAAACCAUAUAGCUCUACUCAGCAAAGAGUCGUCUCUUCUAUUUGAUUUUAAUAGAAUGUAAAUAUUGUAAUAUUGUAAUAGUAGGCAUAUCUGGGUUGUAAUAACUAUAUACAGAUUGUAGUAGACUUAGUUUUAUUUGAUGAACUACGUUUGUACUGUUCUGUUUGAAAUAUUGAUUAUGUAAGUAAUUUGAAAAACGUGUGGAAUGGAAACCUAACUUGUGGGAUUCACUUAUGAAAAUAAUCUAAGCAGUUUUGAAUUUUCUGUCAAGUGGGCCCAAUGUGUGAGAAGAUGACAAGUGGGACCAGCUCCAAAAUAUAAUGGCCCAAACAAUGUUAAAAGACCCUGGCCCAGAAAUAAAUAAAAGGCUGAAAUGGGCUAGGCCCGUGUAACUUACAGAAAAAAAUAAAUACUAAAAAGGCUGAAUUAAUGGGCUCGGCCCAUAUAAACACCGAAUUGGACCGGGCUGAAUCUUGUGCCACAUCAGAUUGCCACGCUGGAUGCCUACGUGGCCUGGGGAGGUUGCUAGUGACCAAAAUGCCACAGUAGACAUAUUUUGGUCAUAAACGUCUACGACCAUUCCAGAAGAAAGGUUGCUAUAGUCAGUUUAUGACGGCCAGCUUUUGACCUUAUGUUUUUGGUCACAAAAAGGUCACAAAUGGAAAUUUUUGACCAUUCAGUGACCAAUAGUGGUGGUCACAAGUUGACAUAUUUCUUCUAGUGCUUAAGUAUAGGCUGUUUUUAGAGUCCGUAUGAGUGGGGAAACAAGAGUUAGGGUUUGUUUCGGACCCCUCCACCAAGGGCCACGAAAUUCCCCCUCUCUCCUCCAUAUAUACAGCCCUUAGGGCAUCGUUUAGACUUUGGGUUUUGUUUAGAUUAAAAGUUUACCAUAGCUGCAACUUCGCGUACUUCGUUUGUGUCCAACGACCAGACCAAGACGUCACAAAACCCCACCUUGAUCAAUAAAGCUUUCAUCUUAUAUUCGCAAUAUCCAGAUUGCAAUCUCAGUUUCUUGCUUGUUCUUCGUUUGCCUACAGGAAACAGACCUUCGUGGUCAGGUUGAUCGUGCUCCGGCGUGGUCAAUAACCUCUCGGAGUUGGUUUAGCGAUUGCUAAGGCGCGACGUCCUCGCACGUUCGUAGUCGGAUCGUCAAAGUCGACUUCCUCCAAAACGAUAGCCACCAUCUCAUCAAAAGACGGGACACCUUUGCCCCUAUCAGCGGGAUCCGCUGCUUUCGUGAAAGAUCGGGCGAUUAGGGUUCCACCCUACAUCAACUUGAUAGAGGCGAGGGUGUCCCGAUCUUUAAAUGAGAUGAUAACUAUCGAUUUGGUGGAGACGACUUUGACGAUACGACUACAAACGUGCACGACGUUCCGCCUUAGCAAUCGCUAAACCAAUCUCCUGAGGUUACUGACAAUGCCGGAAGCACGGUCAGCCUGACCACGAAGGUCUAUUCCUGCAAGCAAUCGAAGAACGAGCAAGAAUAUGAUAAAGCAAUCUGAAUAUUGCAAAUAUAUAUGAAGUAUUGAUAAUGGUGGGGAUCCGUAAGCGGUCUUGGUCUGUUCGUUGGACACAAACGAAGUACACGAAGUUGCAAUGGCUAACUUUUAACUAAACAAAUCCCAAGGAAAAAACUACUAGAUGGAUCUACUUAUAUAGGAGCAAGGGGUGGUGGCCAAGGAGGUGGGAGGAUGUCCCAAGGCAGACUAAAACUAAUGCUAGGUCAUACAAGGCUCAUGGGCCCAAGUGGAGGUGAUGCAACACCUUUGGGCUUGUAGUUUGACUCGGAUUCUGCUGCAAUGUCAUAUUAUUUCGUCCAUAACUCAACACUCCGGACGAAUUUGAAGGUGAAUCCAAUUGAGUUGGAAAUAGCACGAAAUCUAGUUUCCAAAAAAAGAAUCACCCAAUUCGGAGUCCGUAUGAAAAAGUAGUUGGCGUUUUGAGUCAUGUAUGUCUGUGAAGUCCGAAUCUGAAUCCAGAACGUGAGAGACUUGGACUCUAUCUUCUCUUGGCCCAAAAGUGACGUGAGAGGACUUUUCGAACAGAACCUAAACUUCUUCUUUUCCCUUAUCUUCAUAUGUGGAUUGUACAAAUGUCCCAUACACCUGCAAUUAGAUAAAACACAAAAGUGUUUGAAGUAUUUUUGUUCUGGAUAACACAAAUAGAUUAUUGAAUAGUUUGCAUUAGAAAUCACCUGACAAAUAUGCAUGUAUGCAAUAUUUUUGCUCGUAUCCAAGGUAGUCAUGUCCUCAUCAUCAUCCCCUUCUUGAAAACAAAGCCGUCCUCGGCGUUGCUCAAUCUGAAAUGUGGCUAACAAAAGAGACAAGGUGUACAUGUUGUAUAUGUAUAUGUCAUCCGUUUUAACUUUCCUUGAUUUUUGCACAUAUGACACAUGUAUACAUGAGUAACUUUCAUAGUUCAUAAAAUCUAAAGCCAAAAAAUUAUCACAAGAAGUAGAAGGCAUGAAAAUAUUGCAACUCAGUUUGCACAUAUAAGUGAAGCUCUUAUUCAUUUCAAAAGAUUGGCAAUGUUCGUCAUUAAACCAUCCCAACUUUGGUGAAUAAACCUUACUUGCAUCAAAUUUACAUGCUACAACAUGCUUAAAUAAGCAAACAUGCAAUAAGUCAUUGGACACAGAAUCAUCACCAAGAUUGGAGGUCAUAUCAAACUGAUUAAACAUUGGUUCUUUUGCAUCAACAGUUAAUUCAAUGGGUGCACUCAAAAUUGUUGAUAUUUCAGUUGUUUGAUCACAAGACGCAUUCAUGACAGUAACAAGAUUCCCUAAAAUAGGUGGUGUGCUCAAAUCAACAAGUAACUCAAUACGUGACACAUUCAAGUUAACUAGGCAUGCAUCAUUCUCAUGUGAAGUUAUAUCAUCAAUUCCUUUACUGUUACCUUGUCGCAAAGAUGUAGCUGAUGUAGGUACGGACGUUGACAAUGUACCAUACCCUUGAGAUGAUGUCGCGCUCAUAAUCCGAGGUGCAACGAUGGAGGAACCAACCGGCGGUGGUGAGCAUGAACUGGAAUAGUAGUUGUUGUAGUCACCUAAUGCAUCCUCCUGUAUCUGUCUCUCAAAGGUACAAGCACGGACAUACAUACCAGUAAUGCAACGAGGAAUAUACUGAAAUCUUGCCUGAAUAUCAUGGUUCAAACAACCAAAGAAUCUAUUCAUUGUAUCAUUCUCAGAUUCUUCUCUGUCACAAUGAUGCAUAUAAGAUUUGAACUCUUGGUAGUAAGCAUGAACAGUGUUGUUGCCUUGUUUAAAUUGUUCAAAUUUGCGAAGCAAUUCACGACGAUAGUAAGGAGGGAAAAAUUGUUGUCUCAUUAUAGCUUUCAAAACCUUCCAAGUUGUGGGUUGGUUAUCAAUGUUUCUCUUACAAUGUACACUCCACCAAACAGAAGCAAAACCAGUAAAUGCUCUAGUGGCUGCUCGCACUCGCUCAAGUUCAGAAAAGUCAUGGUGACUAAAAACUUGUUCUACUUCAAGCUCCCAAGCUAGAUAAGUAGUAGGAUUAAAUCUACCCUCAAAUGACGGUAAAAAGAUAACCUGGCCAUGUGCUUGUGUGUGUUGUCCCAACUCUCGUGAUUGUAAAGAUGUGUCCGUCGUCCAAGAACUUCUAUCUUCGGAACCUGUCAUGAUUAGUAGAAACAAGAAACAAAAUUCAAGAAUAAUAUUCCUAUGAACUACUAGGGUGUGGUCAUAAAGCGCUCACAGUAAAGCAAAUAUCAAUAUAUUACAAGUUCUUACCAAGCAGCAGGUGGUGAUAGGCAACCAGUGGUGUCAAAUAACUCUGAAGAUUGUGUAAAGCGAUUGCCAGGGGAACGUACGUACACAUGGUGUAGAAAUAUGUGGAGCUGGGUUGGCUAUAUAUGGUAGCAAAAGAUUAGCAAUAAUCAAUUCAGAGAUGCAAUGUUGAAUAAACGCUCAACGACGGUACUGUGUUGGUCCUAGGCUAGACCGUACUAGAGACGCGAGCCUAGAACACUAACAAAAUCACGGCGCUGCACGUAAACAACGGAGGAGCACACGCUGAAAUUUUUUUCUCUUUUUUUCACUUUUUUGCAAUUUUUUUCUUUUUUCCCGUUUUUUCCUCACACUUUUUUCUUUCUCUCUUUUUUUCUCUAACUUUUUUAUUUUUUUUCUCUUUUUUUUCUCUCUCCCUCUUUCCAAAACAAACUAGAUAAGAUGCAGAUUGGAUCAAGGGAAGAUGUGAAUGACCUCAACUAUGAUUUAGACAAUGAACAAUGGGUAGCACGUGGUGGAAAUUGAUGAAUGGGUGGUGGACAGCGAAAGGGAUAACGAUGCAGCGGCGGCGUGACUAAUGUGAACAGAACUCGAAACUCUAAAUGAACAAGACACUAAGACCAGCAACUCGACACGACGAUGCAACCGAUAAUUCAACUAUGCAAGCAAUGAAAAGAAAAUUGCAAAGGCUCAGACUGGCUUGGACAAAGGAUGAAUAGAUCUAGCUUUUUUUGUGGCUUUUUCUUGGACUAUAGGUAUGAAGAAUAGACUCGAUCUAAACAACGAAAAACUGUAAAAAUCUCACCGAGCAACCGGGAAAUCUGAUACCACUUGAUAGAGGCGAGGGUCCCGAUCUUUCGAUGAGAUGAUAACUAUCGAUUUGGUGGAGACGACUUUGAUGAUCCGACUACAAACGUGCACGACGUCCCAAUCUCCUGAGGUUACUGACGAUGCUGGAAGCACGGUCAGCCUGACCAUGAAGGUCUAUUCCUACAAGCAAUCGAAGAACGAGCAAGAAUAUGAUAAAGAAAUCUGAAUAUUGCAAAUAUAUAUGAAGUAUUGAUAAUGGUGGGGAUCCGGAAGCGGUCUUGGUCUGGUCGUUGGACACAAACGAAGUACACGAAGUUGCAAUGGCUAACUUUUAACUAAACAAAUACCCAGCAAAAAGCUACUAGUUGGAUCUACUUAUAUAGGAGCAAGGGAUGGUGGCCAAGGAGGUGGGAGGAAGUCCCAAGGCAACCUAAAACUAACCCUAGGUCGUACAAGGCUCAUGGGCCCAAGUGGAGGUGAUGCAACACCUCUGGGCUUGUAGUUUGACUAGGAUUCUGCUGCAACAUCAGAAUGUUUCGUCUAUAACUCAACGCUCCGAACGAACUUGAAGGUGAAUCCAAUUGGGUUGGAAAGAGCACGAAAUCUAGUUUGCAAAAAAGAAAGAAUCACCCAAUUCGGAAUCCGUAUGAAAAAGUUGUUGGCGUUUUGAUCCAGCUAUGUCUGUGCAGUCCGAAUCUGAAUUCAGAAUGUGAGAGACUUGGACUCUAUCUUCUCUUGGCCCAAAAGUGACGUGAGAGGACUUUUUGAACAGAACCUAAACUUCUCCUUUUCCCUUAUCUUCAUAUGUGGAUUGUACAAAUGUCCCAUACACCUGCAAUUACACAAAACACAAAAGUGUGUGAAGUAUUUUUUGUUCUUGAUAACAUAAAUUGAUUAUUGAAUAGUUUGCAUUAGAAAUCACCUGACAAAUAUGCAUGUAUGCAAUAUUUUUGGUCGUAUCCAAGGUAGUCAUGUCCUCAUCAUCACGCUCACAAUCCGAGGUGGGGCUACUCUAGUAGGUGCAAGGGUGGAGUAACCACCGGUAGUGGUGAGCAUGAACUGGAAUAGGAGUUGUUGUAGUCACCCAAUGCAUCCUCCUGUAUCUGUCUCUCAAAGGUACAAGCACGGACAUACAUACCAGUAAUGCAACGAGGAAUAUACUGAAAUCUUGCCUGAAUAUCAUGGUUUAAACCACCAAAAAAUCUAUUCAUUGUAUCAUCCUUAGAUUCUUCUAUGUCACAAUGAUGCAUAUAAGAUUUGAACUCUUGGUAGUAAGCAUGAACAGUGUUGUUGCCUUGCUUAAAUUUUUCAAAUUUCGGAAGCAAUUCACGAUGAUAGUAAGGAGGUAAAAAUUGUUGUCUCAUUACAGCUUUCAAAACUUUACAAUUCACAAUGUACACUCCACCAAACGGAAGCAAACCCAGUAAAUGCUCUAGUGGUAGCUCAUACUCUCUCAUGUUCAGAAAAAUCAUGGUGACUAAAAACUUCUUCUACUUCAAGCUCCCAAGCUAGAUAAAUAGCAGGAUUAAAUCUACCCUCAAAUGAUGGUAAAGAGAUAACCUGACCAUAUGCUUGUGUGUGUUGUCCCAACUCUCGUGAUGGUGAAGAUGUGUCCGUCGUACAAGAACUUGAUGCGGAGCAUCCCACGACCAUCCCCAUGGACGCCACCUCAACUAUCCAAGCUCCAAGUGGACCAAUGACAAGGGCUUGGGCACGUGCUAUUAAAUCCGAGGUGACAUCACUCCUACUUGAGUUUUCUCCCUCUUCAAGUGAGACAUGGCUGCUGCCUAAGUCCGAGAUACUAUGUGUCAUCAGGUACAACACUCAAGAAUCGGAGCCAAGGACUGUAGAAGAAGAGACAGGCGUCAACACUCUGGACAGCCCGGAACUUCCGGCCAGAGCCUAGAACUUCCGGCCCUCGGACCUUCCGGCCGACCCGGAGCUUCCGGCCGCCAAUGACUUCGACCAGCCCAGGCGUGCCAACUCUCGGGUUAGCCCGGACCCCGUCCCGGACCUUCCGGCACCCGGAAUGAUAGAGGCAAAGGUGUCCCAAUUUUUCGAUGAGAUGGUGGCUAUCAUUUCUGUGGGAGUCGACCUUGACGAUCCGACUACGAAUGUGCGAGACGUUGCACCUUAGCAAUCGCUAAACCAACUUCCGAGGGGUUAUUGACCACGCCGGAGCACGAUCAACCUGACCACGAGGAUCUGUUUCCUGCAAGCAAACGAAGAACAAGCAAGAAACUGAGAUUGCAAUCUGGAUAUUGCGAAUAUAGGAUGAAAGCUUUAUUGAUCAAGGUGGGGUUCUGUGACGUCUUGGUCUGGUUGUUGGACACAAAUGAAGUACGAGAAGUUGCAGCUAUGGCGAAAUUUUAAUCUAAACAAAACCCAAAGUCUAAACGACGCCCUAAGGGCUGUAUAUAUGGAGGAAGAGGGGGGGAAUUUCGUGGCCCUUGAGGGUGGGGUGCGAAACCAACCCUAACUCUUGUGUCCCCACACAUACAGACUCUAAAAAUAGCCGAUACUUAAGUAUUUCGAAAUUACAUGGGCCUGGCCCAAUAAUUAACUGACGCAGCACCUAGAAUAGCCUAUGGACGAAUAUUAUGAAGUGGCAUCUUGUAUAUUUCAUCCAAGGCUUCAUGCACUCCUUAUGGUGGCUUCAAAGUCCUGAAAUCAUCACUUGUAACUCCGGUCUUGUUGCCCUUGCGGAUGCCAUGAACUCCAUGUGUGUUCUUGCUCCAAUGUUCAUCCUUCUCCAAGCUAGGCCGUUCAUUUGUAAGCAAAACAAAUGUAUCCAAUUUAGGGAGCAUCAUAUUCCCAUGAACAUUAGAAUCAUUACCAAGAAACGAAAGUACCUGGUAAUUUAAUUGGCGUGCGCGAGCUCUAGUAAUUGGUCCAAUAUAUGUAAAAGUAGGGGAUGUGGAUGUAACAAUGGUAUUGAUGUCCUCAUCACGGAACCUCCGGCCUGCCCGGACCUUCUGGCCCCCGGAUGCCAGCACAUAUCCACCGCGCCAACUCUCUGCUUAGGCCAGACCCUCCCCGGAACCUCCGGCGCCCAGAACUUCCGGCCCUGCCUGCGCGCAGCCACUUGGGCCGAGGCCUGUGUACCCUUUCGUCACCUAGACUAUAUAUACUUUAUCCCGUACGACUUUCUAGGGUUAGUGUUGGUUUAGCUCAUACUCAGAGAUAGAGCUUGGCUCAUCCACAUCGGAUCUACUCCUCGUGAGAGACCGCGGCCCCUCUUCGGAGAAGAUCCACUUGGAUUCAAGACCUCCUCGCGGAGAAGAUCCCCCCAUGGAUUCAAGACCUCCUCACGAAGAAGAACCGGCUACCCUUUUAUAUCGUCCUUAGUUGUCCGUGGAUUCGUGUAUCAUUCUAUGUGCCCGAGGAUCUAGCACAUGUGUGACUUGCUCUUGUUAGUUUGAGUGUUCCUCUUGUAUUUUCCCUUGUGUUUUCCCUCGUUUCCCUACUCGUGUUCUUCGCGUUCUUUGCGGGAUCCGCUCCUUUCGUGAAAGACCGGGCGAUUAGGGUUCCAACCUACAUCAUCUUGGUAUCUAGAGCAAGGUUGAUCACGAUUUCGGAGCCUACCCGUUGUGUUUCUAGCCUAAUUUUGUUGUUUUUCGUCCUAAUGAGAAAAUCCCCACCAAAAAUAGCGACAAUUUUUUUUGUGAUUUGUUCGUGUGUUGAGAUUUUGUUGCUUUUGAUCCGUGAAUUUUGUGUGUGGCUCGUAGAUCUAGCAUCCCCACCCUUCUUUUCCUCCAAUUUCUUCUUUUUCCCCUUCGGAUUUGGGCUUUUUCCCCAAGUUUUUCCGCCCAAAUCCACGAUCCCAAAGUCUCUGUUCUUGGCAGAAUCCCGACCACCGGAACUUCCGGUCCGUCCCGGACAUUCCAGCCCCCGGACCUUCCGGCCUUCCCCGGAACCUCUGGACCCCGAACCCUCCGUCUUGCCCGGAACUUCCGGCUUCGAUAGAAAGUUCGCACUACUUCCACAACUCCGCCCAAAUUCCACCAACUUUUGUUCUGGUGCUCACCAUAUACCAUAUAUACUUCUGCAUACCUCCACCACUUCCGCAUAACUCACCAUCUUUGGACUGUUUUGCUCUCCGACACAAUUGCACUUUGAGGUUUGAGAAUUUGAGUUGCGGUACCGUAUCCUUUUUUGUUUCGGCUAUCUAGGUACGGUUCGACAUCAACAUCACCACCGCUCAUCUUCGCCACAGACGCGUCAUCAACAACGACCACCAAGACUACGACUUGGUAUUCGUGCCACCAUUUUGACACCAUUCCAGAAGCAAGACCGGUAACUUCAUCUUGGUAUUGGACAUAUCACUCUUGCCACUACAUUGAUAGCCAUCAUAGCCUUACUCCUUUGCGUUGCUUACCCAUCGAGACUAGCCAUUGAGUAUUGCCGGCAACAAGACUUGUGCACAUUAGUGAUCAUACUUCCCAUAGCAUACAUACAUCAUUGUUGCCUAUAUUGGUAUCAUCUCUUGUGUCACAAAGUUGUCAUCGCAUACUCACUUGCUAUCUUGGUUCGUGCUAGCCUCUCUCUAGUGUUGUGCAACAAGAGCAUUUUUGUGGAUUCCACAUUUUGGAUCACCCUUGGUUGCACAACCCCACUUAUCUUUUUGCGUGUGUGUUUCCGUGUACCUUAUAUGCUUGGUCUACUUGUUACAUUGCAUCUUGCGAAUCUUUUCCAACAUUAUUGAAGCUCACUUACAAUUGCAUCAAAUUUUGUGCCACGAUCCUAACCAAGCUCCACCAAAAGCUUUUACUUGUGUAGGUCUGAGAAACCGACAAGAACUCGUACCAAUUGUGCCAUUUCCUUGUCCUACAUUGGAGUGAUCCUCGAUCCACUUUCAACUUCAGUCAAGGUACAUUUGGUACUCGUUCCUCUCUUUCUACCACUCACAUUUGUCUUGGAAUGAUGUAUAGGCCAAGUACUUCUACCAACCCACUCUUCAUGGAGCAAGACGACGACAUGAACUCCUUCGUCACCAAGAGUCAUCUCUUUGGUGCACAACGUGCUUUGCAUCAAGAGCAACAAACUAUGAGUGAACGCAUCGACAACCUUGCCACCGACUUGCGACUUUCCGAGCAACGUACAAGGGACUACUUCGACCACAAGCUCGACGAUCACAAGCGAGAGAAUGACGCAAGGAUGGACGAGAUUCGCGCUUUGUUGCUCAACCGCUCUUCUUCCACUUCAAGAAGGAGCCGUUCAAGUCGCCAUUCCGACUCAAGUACACCGACAUCGAACACUCUUCGUCGAGCCGCGCGCACCGACCGUCAAGCAAACCUCAAUCCGCUUUGGGAUACCGACCCUCAAGAGCGCCGACAACGUCAAGCCGAAGAAGCCUUUGCGCUGGUUCGCAAACGAUAACAACAACGCCAACAUGAAGAGGAAGAACGCGCGUGUCUACACCAAAAUGCACACGAUACCAAGGCUCAACGCCAAGCACAACAACUCCAUGAUGCUCAAGCACUUGAGGUGCAACAAGCUCUACACGAUGUGAGUCGAGCCGUUGCCGACCGAGGCCGACAAGCCCGUGAAGAAGAGGAAGCACUUCGCGAAGAAAUUCACGAGCGAAAAUUUCAAGCUCGCAUGCAUCAUCUAGUGCCACCUCGAGCUCGAUGCGUUCCUACACAAGCUCGCCAACACCACCAAGUUCAUCGAGAGGAGGAAGACAAUGGAAAUCUUCCGCGACAUGAUCAACACGAGGUUGACAACCCUCCGCGCCAAGAGCACCACGAGUUGGACAAUCAUCUUCAACAUGGGCGUCAUCAUCCCCGACCGCAACACAAUGAAGAGCAACGCUACGGCAAGCUCAAGUUCACCAUGCCCAAGUUCAACGGAAGCAACGAUCCCGAAGAGUACCUUUCAUGGGCAUUGAAAGUUGACAAGAUUUUCCGUUUGCACAAUUAUGACGAAGAGAAGAUGAUUGCAAUGGCAUCCCUUGAGUUCCAAGACUAUGUGCUUAUUUGGUGGGAACAAGUCAUUGAGCGCCGAGAGGCAAGAGGUGAACCACCCAUCACUACUUGGGCGCAAAUGAAGGAUGUCAUGAGAGCACGCUUCGUUCCUACCUACUACAACUGCGAUCUCUUCAAGAAACUCCAACAACUCAAGCAAGGAACCAAGAGCAUUGAAGAGUACUACAAGGAGAUGGAGAUUGCCAUGAUACGAUCCAAUGUCGCGGAAGAUGAUGAGCAAACAAUGGCACGUUUCUUGAAUGGACUCAAUCAGCCUAUCAAGAAGAUCGCCGACUUCCAACCAUACUCAAAUCUCAUCGAGCUAGUGCACCAAGCUACCAAAGCGGAACGCCAAGUGCAAGAUGAUUUCAAGAAUGCCAAGUUCUCAUCCAAGUCCUACGGCUUCUCCAAUAACCAAGCUUCAAUGACUACAAGACCUUCUACUUCCAACAUCGACAAGUCGACUUCCAAGAAAGCUUCGCCAACUGCAAGCAACCAUACUACGGGCAACUUCAAGCCGAGAGCUUCAUCAUCAUCAACCCCAACCGAUGAGACCAUCAAGACGAGUUCCUUCAAGUGUUUCACUUGCGGAGGCCGAGGCCUCAAGUCCUACGAGUGCACCAACAAGCGAACCAUGGUCUUCAACGACGAUGGCACUUAUGACUCCAUGAGCAACGGCGAAAUAGAAGCCCUCGAGCAAGUUGCCAUGCACCGCCAAGUGAACAAUGAAUAAGAACAAGUCUUUUGUGAUGAAGACUCAAGUCCCGCACUUGUUGUCUCCAAAGUCUUGACUCUCCAACAUCACCAAGAAGAAGACCAAAGGUGCCACAUAUUCCACACCAAGGCCAGCAUCAAUGGACGAUCCAUCAAGGUCAUCAUCGAUGGAGGUUGUUGUCAUAAUCUCGCAAGUGAAGAACUUUGCUCCAAGCUCCAAUUGCCCAAGACGAAGCAUUCACAUCCAUACAAAGUGCAAUGGCUUAGUGAUUCCGGCACUAUCCAAGUCCAGCACCAAGUACAAGUCUCCUUCAAGAUCAGCGCCUACGAAGACACCUUGGAGUGCGACAUCGUUCCAAUGACCAUUUGUCAUCUUCUCCUUGGACGACCAUGGCAAUUCGAUAGAGGAGUCGUCCACAACGGCCGAACAAACCACUACAUCUUCAAGAUGAAGGGCAAGGAGUACAUCCUCCGUCCAAUGUCGCCAAGUCAAGUGAUCGCCGACAAGCAAGCCACCCAUCGUGGAGAUCAUAGUGAGAGAGCGAGCCACCAAAACAAGAGUGGGCGCCACAAGCCAAAAUCGAGUGCCUCCACGAUGAGCGAAAACAAGAACCUAGUUCUAUUUUCCACCAAACGUGAGAUGAGAGAAGUGUGUGAGAACCCAUCUAGUGUCCUACACUACGUCCUCGUGUGCAAGGACAAUGCACCACAAACUAACACCUCUCACACUCUUCCUCUAGUGUUGUCUUCUCUUUUGCAGGAAUUUCAAGAUGUUUUCCCCGAUGAGCUACCUCCGGGACUACCUCCACUUCGAGGCAUUGAGCACCGCAUCGACCUCAUCCCCAGAGCGCCACUUCCAAACAAAGCUCCCUACCGCGUCAACCCCGACGAAACAAAAGAAAUACAAAGGCAAGUAAAGCAUCUCAUAGACCAUGGACAUGUGCGUGAAAGUUUGAGCCCUUGUGUCGUUCCGGUCAAUCUUGUGCCAAAACGUGAUGGUAGUUUUCGCAUGUGCUCCGAUUGUAGACCUAUCAAUGCUAUCACCGUUCGCUAUAGGUAUCCCAUUCCACGCCUAGAUGCUAUGCUUGAUGAGCUUAGCGGUGCCACUAUAUUUUCUAAAAUUGAUCUUAAAAGUGGUUACUAUCAAAUCCGCAUACAAGAGGGUGAUGAAUGGAAAACCGCCUUCGAAACCAAGUUUGGUUUGUAUGAGUGGUUAGUCAUGCCUAUGGGUCUUUCGGAAGCGCCGAGCACUUUUAUGCGCCUUAUGAAUCAUGUAUUUCGCCCUUACAUUGGUAUAUUUGUUGUGGUUUACUUUGAUGACAUUCAUGUGUUUAGCAAACUCUUAGAAAAGAGCGACUCUAUGCUAAUAUGGAGAAAUGCCUUUUUGGUGUUGAUAAGCUCGUUUUCUUGGGUUUUGUUGUUUCUGCUAAGGGUGUUCAUGUUGAUGAGUCCAAGAUAAAUGCUAUUAAGACUUGGCCGCAACCAACCAACUUGCAUCAAGUGCGUAGUUUUCUUGGCCUUGCGGGUUUCUAUCGUCGCUUUGUAAAGGAUUUUAGCACCAUUGCUUCGCCUUUGCAAGCUUUGAGCAAGAAGAAUGCGCCUUUUGUUUGGGGACCAUCCCAAGAUACCGCAUUCAAUGAGCUUAAGAAUUUGCUUACUCAUGCUCCCAUCCUUUCUUUACCAACUUCGAGAUGCCUUUUGAAAUUCAUUGCGAUGCUAGUGGUAAUGGAAUAGGAGGUGUGUUAACGCAAGAGAAGCGCCCCGUAGCUUACUUUAGUCAGAAACUUUCCGGACCGCAACUCAAUUAUCCCAUCUAUGACAAAGAGCUAUAUGCUUUAGUCCGCGCUUUGCAUGAAUGGGAACACUACCUUCGUCCCCAUGAGUUUAUCAUUCAUACCGAUCAUGAGACUCUCAAGUAUCUUAAGGGACAAACUAAGUUGAACAAGCGUCAUGCUAAAUGGAGUGAAUUUAUUGAGUCUUUUCCAUAUGUCAUCAAGUACAUCAAGGGUAAAGAAAACAUAGUAGUGGAUGCUCUUUCUUGCAUUUGCAUGCUUGUCACGCAACUUGAGUUAGAUGUCAUUGGCUUCAAGCAUAUCAAGGACUUAUAUGAGCAUGAUGCAACUUUUGCCAUUCCUUAUGUCAAGUGUUUGUCGAAUACAUCUUCGGAACGGUAUUGCAUCAAAGAUGGCUACCUUAUGAGAGCUAACAAACUUUGCAUUCCCGAGUCCUCUCUUCGCUUGUUGCUUUUGUAGGAAUCCCAUGGAGGAGGCUUAAUGGGACAUUUCGGACGUGACAAGACGUUCGCCACGCUCUCGAAAAGCUACUUUUGGCCUAAGAUGUUUCGGGAUGUCAAUCGUUUCACCAACCGGUGUUCUACAUGUCGCAAAGCUAAGUCCAAAGCUCAAUCUCAUGGUCUCUAUAUGCCUUUACCAAUUCCCUACCAGCCUUGGGAAGACAUUAGCAUGGACUUUGUACUUGGUUUGCCUAGGACUCGCAAUGGGAAAGAUUCCAUAUUUGUCGCUGUGGACCGUUUCUCAAAAAUGGCACAUUUUAUUCUUUGCCACAAGAUAGACGAUGCUUCACAUGUUGCUAAUCUCUUUUGUAGGGAAAUUUUGCGUCUCCAUGGUGUGCCAAAAACCAUCCUCUCGGACCGCGAUGUCAAGUUCCUUAGCUACUUUUGGAAGACCCUAUGCGCCAUGCUCGGAAUCAAGAUACUCUUCUCCACGGCGUACCAUCCUCAACCGACGGCCAAACGGAGGUGACAAACCACACACUCUCCGCUCUACUUUGAGUACUCAUCAAGAAGAACAUCAAGGAGUGGGAGGAGUGUCUACCCAUCGCCGACUUCGCCUACAACCUAUCAAGACACUCAACAACCGGCAUGUCCCCUUUCGAGGUCGUCUACGGAUUCAACCCUUUGUCACCAUUGGAUAUUCUAUCUCUACCACUCCAAGAGCGAAUCAAUUUGGACGCAAAUGCAAGAGUGACCCAUAUCAAGUAUGCAUGAAGAUACAAGAAACACCAUCGAGCGCCAAGUACAACGCCUUGCGACCAAGCUCAAUGUCAACAAGCAACCUAUGGUCUUCAACAUUGGUGAUCUCGUGUGGCCACACCUUCGCAAGGAGCGCUUUCCAAAAGAACGCAAGUCUAAGCUUCGACCACGAGCAGAUGGACCCUUCAAGGUGCUCGCACACUACAACAACAACGCUUACAAGAUCGACCUCCCGCGCGACAAGUACAACGUGAGCGACAUCUUCAACAUCAAAGAUCUCUCUCCCUUCGAUGGUGAUGUAGAACUCGAUCCGAGGACGGAUCUUCCCCAAGGGAGGGGAGAUGACGCGGAGCAUCCCACGACCAUCCCCAUGGAUGCCACCUCAACUUUCCAAGCUCCAAGUGGACCAAUGACAAGGGCUAGGGCACGUGCUAUUCAAUCCGAGGUGACAUCACUCCUACUUGAGUUUCCCCCCUCUUCAAGUGAGACAUGGCUACUGCCUAAGUCCGAGAUACUAUGUGUCAUCAGGUACAACGCUCAAGACUCGUAGCCGAGGAUUGUAGAAGAAGAGACAGGCGUCAACACUCUGGACAGCCCGGAACUUUCGGCUCCCGGAGCUUCCGGCCGACCCGGAGCUUCCGGCCACCAAGGACUUCGACCAGCCCAGGCGUGCCAACUCUCGGGUUAGCUCGGACCCCGUCUGGGACCUUCUGGCCCCCGAAUGCCAGCACAUCUCCACCGCGCCAACUCUCUGGUUAGGCCGGACCCUCCCCAGAACCUCCGGCGCCCAGAACUUCCGGCCUAGCCCGGAACUUCCGGCCCUGCCUGCACGCAGCCACUUGGGCCGAGGCCCAUGUACCCUUUCGUCACCUAGACUAUAUAUACUCUAUCCCGUACGACUUUCUAGGGUUAGCGUUGGUUUAGCUCAUACUUAGAGAUAGAGCUUCGCUCAUCCACAUCGGAUCUACUCCUCGUGAGAGACCGCAUCCUCUUUAGAGAAGAUCCCUUUGGAUUCAAGCCCCCUUUCUAAGGGAAGAUCCCCCGUGGAUUCAAGAUCUCCUCACGGAGAAGACCGGCUACCUUUCUAUCGUCCUUAGUUGUCUGUGGAUUCGUGUAUCGUUCUAUGUACCCGAGGAUCUAGCACAUGUGUCACUUGUUCUUGUUAGUUUGAGUGUUCCUCUUGUGUUUCCCCUUGUGUUUUCCCUCGUUUCCCUCCUCGUGUUCUUCGCGUUCUUCACGGGUGAUUAGGACAUCAAUACCAUUGUUACACCCACAGCCCCUGCUGAUGUACAUACUGGACCAAUUACUAGAGCUCGCGCACGCCAAUUGAAUUAUCAGGUACUUUUGUUUCUUGGUAACGAUUCUAAUGUUCAUGUGAAUAUGAUGCUGCCUAAGUUGGAUACAUUUGUUUUGCUUAAAAAUGAAGGGCCUAGCUUGGACAAGAAAGAUGAACCUUGGAGCAAGUUCAAGCAUGGAGAUGAUGGCAUGCGCAAGGGGAACAAGAACAGAGUUACAAGUGAUGAUUCCAGGACUCUGAAGCCACCAUAAUGAGUGCAUGAAGCAUGGGACGAAAUAUACAAGAUGCCACUUCAUAAAUUUUGUCCAGAGGCUAUUCUAGGUGCUGCGUCACCUUAUUAUUGGGUCAGGCCCAUGUAUUUUCGAAAUACUUAAGUAUAGGUGGAAAUUUGACCCGCUUCCAGCUGAAUCGGUGGAAAUUUGUCUUUUUCAUGAGAGGUGGAUCAAAAAAAUUUACACGCAACCAUUUUGUCAAUUGUGCAUUAAUUAUGACCUAGUAUUUUAUAAAAAUAAAUUGGUCCAAUUUUGCAAUAAUUAUUUGGUAGUUCCUUCACAAAACAUCCUCCUUUUGGGCACUCGAAAAAUGGAAAAUGGUUUUUUCGUCCAACGAAAAAUGAAAACUUUCUUAGGCAACAUUGUUUGCCAUUCUAAUAUGCACCCUUGUGCACAAUAUGAGAUCAUUUGAACAAACUAUGCCAUGAAUGUGGCCAUAAGAUUGAUCAUUUGGCUUGAAAGCCAUUGACCUUCACACAUGAUAGAUCAUUUCUGAGAACACUUUUUUAAAAUAAUUAUCGUAUUACAAGUUUAUUAUUUUUCCCGGAAACUUAAUCACAUAUAAUGAGACAAUGCGAAGGUUUUCCAUUUUUUUGAUUUUUUUUGAAUUUUUUAUGUCCGUUUCAAAAUGUGGUCAAAACGGCGGGCUUGACCGUUCCUAGGUAGCGGUUGAAUCUUGGAAUUUUUUUGGUGUUUCUCUGAUUAAAUAGAUACUUAUGUACCUAUAAAUGAUUUUUGGAAAAAAUAAAGAGCAAACUACGAGGUAGCUACAGUUCAACUUUGACCCGCUUCCAACUGAAUUGGCGGAAAUUUGUCUUUUUCACGAGAGGUGGAUCAAAACUUUUUACACCCAACCAUUUUGUCAAUUGUGCAUUAAAUAUGUCCUAGUAUUUUAGAAAAAUGAUUUGGUCCAAUUUUGCAACAAUUAUUUUGGAGGUCCUUCACAAAAAACCUCCUUUUGGGCACUCGAAAAAUGGAAAAUGGUUUUUUCGUCCAAAGAAAAUGAAAACUUCCUUAGGCAACAUUGUUUGCCAUUCCAAUAUGCACCCUUGUGCGCAAUAUUAGAUCAUUUGAACAAACUAUGCCAUGAAUGUGACCAUAAGAUUAAUCAUUUGGCUUGAAAGCCGUUGAUCUCCACACGUGAUAGCUCGUUUCUGAGAACACUUUUUAAAAAUAUUUGCCGUAUUACAACUUAAUUAUUUUUCGUGGUAACUUGGUCACAUAUGAUGAUGCAAUGCCAAGGUUUUCCAAUUUUUUAUUUUUUUGAAUUUUUUAUGCCCGUUUCAAAAUGCAGUCAAAACGGCGGGAAUGACCGUUCCUAACUAGUGGUUGAAUCUUGGAAAAACUUUUGGUGUUUCUCUGAUUAAAUAGGUAGUUAAGUACCUAAAAUUGAUUUUUGGAAAAAAUAAAGAGCAAACUAGUAGGUAGCUGCUGUUCAAAUUUGACCCGGUUCGAGCUGAAUCGGAAAAAAAAUGUCUUUUUCAUGAAUGGUGGAUCAAAGUUUUUGACACCCAACCAUUUGGUCAAUUCUGCAUUAAAUAUGGCCUAAUAUUUUAGGAAAAUUAUUUGGUCCAAUUUUGGAACAAAUAUAUGGUAGCUCCUUCACAAAAAAGUCUCAUUUUGGGCACUCGAAAAAUGGAAAUUGUUUUUUUUUCAGAAGAGGUGGAUCAAAAGCUUUUGACAUGCAACUAUUUGGUCAAUUUUACAUAAAAUAUGGUCUAAUAUUUUAGAAAAAAUGGAGUGGUGCUAUUUUGGAACAAAUAUUUGGUAGGUUCUUAAAAAAAGCAUUUAUGCACGCGGAAAAUAAAAAAAUAUUAUUUAUGUAAUAAAAAUUAAAGCUCUAUUUGGCAACAUUGUUUGCCAUUUCAAUAUGCACACUUAUGCAAAUACGAGAUCAUUUUGACGAACUAUGCCAUCAUUAUGUUUUUAAAAAGGAGAGAUUUGAAUCCAAUUUUUUGAAAUUCAAGCGCGAGACAGCCGACCAAUGAAACGUGAGGAAUCACCUUCACGCGGAUCAUCUGAUUGGACGCAAUAUGAGCCGUCUAUCGCGCACCCAUCCAACGGUGGAGCUUCUCCCGAGUAACAAAAACCCUAACCCACCCACCCACCCUCCUCGAUACCCGCCGCCGCCACCCCCACCCACCCUCCUCGAUCCUGACGCACCCAUUCUCUGUCUUCCCUCCCUCCCUCCCGAUGCGGCCGCUCUCUCAACCCCGACGCGCCGCCGUCCUCCGCCUUCCCCUGCAUUCCGCUNNNNNNNNNNNNNNNNNNNNNNNNNNNNNNNNNNNNNNNNNNNNNNNNNNNNNNNNNNNNNNNNNNNNNNNNNNNNNNNNNNNNNNNNNNNNNNNNNNNNNNNNNNNNNNNNNNNNNNNNNNNNNNNNNNNNNNNNNNNNNNNNNNNNNNNNNNNNNNNNNNNNNNNNNNNNNNNNNNNNNNNNNNNNNNNNNNNNNNNNNNNNNNNNNNNNNNNNNNNNNNNNNNNNNNNNNNNNNNNNNNNNNNNNNNNNNNNNNNNNNNNNNNNNNNNNNNNNNNNNNNNNNNNNNNNNNNNNNNNNNNNNNNNNNNNNNNNNNNNNNNNNNNNNNNNNNNNNNNNNNNNNNNNNNNNNNNNNNNNNNNNNNNNNNNNNNNNNNNNNNNNNNNNNNNNNNNNNNNNNCACCCUCCGCCAUGGUGAAUCCACCUCCAGAUCGAGAAGGGGAGGCAGCAUACGUCGCAUCCACGCACCAGAUCGAGCAGCGGCGCUCCCAGAUCGAUCCAUCUCCAUCGUCCUCGCGGUUGACGCCCAUGUCCUCCUCAAGGAUGGCCGUCUCCGUGCUCCACCACCAUCCUUUCCCUCCUCCCUCACCGCAUCUCACAUGGCGCUGGGAUCUUCCAGAUCGAGCGCCGGCAGGGUAGGCGCCUCCGCCGCCCAAGUCCAAGACCCCGCCUCCGCCGCCGGCAGGGAUCUUCCAGACCAGCGCAAGGUCUUCCGCGUCACUAACCACGCCGGGGUCGCGCUCGCCGGCCUCACAGCCAUCUUCCUCCAUGAGCUGCAGCCCAUCCUCGCCAACCACCUGCAGACCCAGACCGCCACCACCGGCAACGCAUGCGUCGUGGCCUGCAGUGCCGCCGCUGCCAAGGACCACCUCUUCAAGGUACGCACACAAUGACACAACGCGCCCACCAUCAUUGCCAUUUCAGAGAGACCGUAUGCAUCAGUCAGUAUGGACACAUCUGUAAUUUCGAGUGUCUGAACAUUGUUCCUGCGCUAUGUCUGUCUAUCUCAGGGGUCGCAGGAGCAGCCGGGCCUGGUCACCAUCACCAUGGAGGAGAUCCUCCGGUUCGUGGCGUCCGUCGGCGGCGCCGUCUGGGUGUCGUCGUACCAGGUGGUGCAGGACACCCACGUCUUUGAUCUGCUUGAUCUGCUUGAGCCGUCAUGGUUUUUAUCUGUCUUCCUUUGCAGGCUCAUGUCAAGUCAGUUGAGGAUUUCGCGCGGCUGGGCUGUUUCAAUGAGAACCAGGACAAGCAGCAGCCCGCCAAAGCUUCUUCCACCCAACACCAGCCCACUAAACUGACUAGUUUUUCAUGUCUUGUGUGAAAUCUGUACCCUACUGGAAGAUGCCACCAUCAAGUUAAUAAUAACACUAAACUGGUAUAUGUAAUUAUAGCCAGACAAUUUAUCGCAUCGUACUAUAAAAAUAUGUAAUCAGUAAGCCUAAAAGCUGCUAAACUGGUAUAUUCAUUAUUUGAGUUCAUUGGAAUAUAAUAAGAAACAAAGAUGAAUCUAUUUCUGCUAUGUGCUGCCUUUGUGCAUAGAUGUAUCUUCAUGAGUCGCAAAACUCUUGACAUGCUUAUGCUAUAGUUGAUUUUCCUAGGUUGUAGUUUGUUCCAUAUCGUGUUAGGUUGUAUUGUAUAAUCUGCAUUAUAAGUGUGGUUUCUAAUGUGCUUAUGCUAGAUUAAUGCAUCAACCUGACAUGUUACAAACCUUGAGCCAGAACCUAUGACAUCUCAUUUUAAAUGGUAAUCAUUGUUGUUAAAAUGCUACUGUUUGAUUUCAUACAAGUGUGUGCCCCCAACUGUUGUAUAGUUGUAUCCAUACUUCUGAGCAUAUUAUUGUCUAGCCUCUUUUGUGAUUAGUCCUCAUUUUUAAUGAUGUUACUGUUUAUCUAAGAUCAUUUGAAGUUUUGAGAUGGCACCUAGCUAGCCUCUUUUGUGAUUAGUCCUCAUUUUUAAUGUCAUCCACACUAUUUUUUUGUUAAUUUUGUUCCUUGUAUGAACAACCUUAUAAUUUUGGUGGAUGCACAUGUGGGUGGCAGGAGGGCUAGUUCAUGUAGCUUACUUCCUGUUUGUCAUUUUGGUGGCUUGCCAUUUUAUUUACGGCAUUGUGGAUGAUGCCAUUAUCCUAGUUUUCACAUUUAUAUUAGUCACUUAAACAAGGCUCGGUUAAGUUGAGUUGUUCUGCUGCUGAUGGCAAUACAAGCCAAUAGAUCUCACAUGCAAAAAUUCAACAGAUUUUGCUAGGUUAAUAUUGAGUUGGGGCAGCUGCCUGCAUAUGCAAAAAUUCAACAGAUUUACAGCAUUGUGGAUGAUGCCAUUAUCCUAGUAAUGAUGCAGAGAUACUUACUUGUGCAGGCAAAGGUACAUACUAUUGAUGCCAUUGAAUUGAUCAGUUGUCAUAUAUACAAGGAUGAAUAUAGCCGUUUAGUUAGUUUCCAUGAUUGGUUUAUUUGUGAUUCGUUCUAUCUCUGAUGGUUACCUUGCUUGUGUCUGAACCUGUAUGAUAAGCUAAUAUAUUUUCCAGAAGUGGCUUGGGAACCUCUUUGGUUCCGACUAGCCACCUAUUACGCAGCUAGUUCCAUGAGUAUUUAGUCUUCUGUCCCCUUUUCUGGUACUGAUUUGCCACAUAAUGUUCAUGAUGCAUCAUAUCUCAUGUUGAAGUACUUUGCUGUGACGCUUUGUUUUGGGGUCAGUCAGUAGUACUCUGAACAAGAGCAUAAACAUAUAUGAUUGUGUUAUAUUAAUUGACUGCAUGCCCUCUUGGAUUCUAUUUUUGCCUGCUGCAUGUGUGCUGAUAGUUUUUGCAUAGUGUUGGCCGUGGGGUCUGGCCAGCGAUGUCGGGUCGUUGGUCGGACAGACGAUCAGAUUUAUUUUUGGUACAUUUCGUUGAUUGCUGGUACUGUGUUGACGCAACCUCGAAUGCCUUGCCCGUUACGCCGUUGCUCCUCUUUCUUAUCUGCUUUGAUUGUAGUUAUGCAGAGCCAAAUCGUGUGCCACCGUUGCCGAAGGGUGCUGGCCUACCUGUCAGGGCGCCCAGCGUGUGCGGCGCCAUGUGCCAAGCCAUCACCGCCGUGCCACCCCCAGCGCCAGGUACUGUGUGCGGCCUGAUUUCCUUUCAAUUGUUCUGCUCUUUUCGUGUUGGCAUCGCCUCACAACGUGUAUAACCAUCCUGAUGUUCAACUCUGGGAAUGUUGCUUUGGAAGUAGGAUGGAGUUUUGCAUUGUAUGAUGAAUGUUAUAAAAAUUAUGUAGAAACAUUUGUGAGGAGUACAUGCCAGAUAAAGAGUUACCAUGGGAUUCAAAUUUCACUCUUCCCACAUGCAUGUUUAGUAUGGUUAGAUUCUUUUCUAUGUUUACUUCAGUUCAAGCUUCUGCGCACCUAGGUUCACUAUCUGCUGCUUGUAGGAUACUUACUCCAUGGCUGAUAAUAUCAGCGCGAUGGAUAAAUCUUAUGUUGCACCCUGUCAUUUGUUCUCAAGAGGCCAAGUGGUUUUCUGCAAAAAGCAUAGAGAAGUAUUGUAAAUUCAUAGGAAAUAACAAAAUUGUUUAAAGUUUAUUUGGGUUGGAUCUGUAUAUACACUAUUUUCUUAAAACACAAACCUGUACAUUCACAGCUGAAUAGAUGAUACAUUUUUUUGGAUCUGUACAUGCAAUUUUUUGCAUUGGAUUGGUGGUUAGUUUUAUGUACCUUUGAAUUUUAAUUGAAUAGCAUUAGUACUGCUCAAAUAAACUUGUGUUUUCUCAUCAAAAUCAACAGCCCUCUCUUGUGUUCCUGUUAUGAGAAUUGUUCCUUCAAGGAUAUGCCAGAAUUUGUACACUCAAAUCUCUAAUGAUGUUUGUCUUUGUGUUCAGGAGCUCGAGUUCUACAAAAUUUGAAGUUCGAAACCAUAUAGCUCUACUCAGCAAAGAGUCGUCUCUUCUAUUUGAUUGUAAUAGAAUGUAAAUAUUGUAAUAUUGUAAUAGUAGGCAUAUCUGGGUUGUAAUAACUAUAUACAGAUUGUAGUAGACUUAGUUUUAUUUGAUGAACUACGUUUGUACUGUUCUGUUUGAAAUAUUGAUUAUGUAAGUGAUUUGAAAACGUGUGGAAUGGAAACCUAACUUGUGGGAUUCACUUAUGAAAAUAAUCUAAGCAAUUUUGAAUUUUCUGUCAAGUGGGCCCAAUGUGUGAGAAGAUGACAAGUGGGACCAGCUCCAAAAUAUAAUGGCCCAAACAAUGUUAAAAGGCCUUGGCCCAGAAAUAAAUAAAAGGCUGAAAUGGGCUUGGCCCGUGUAACUUACAGAAAAAAAUAAAUACUAAAAAGGCUGAAUUAAUGGGCUCGACCCAUAUAAACACCGAAUUGGACCGGGCUGAAUCUUGUGCUACAUCAGAUUGCCACACUGGAUGCCUAUGUGGCCUGGGGAGGUUGCUAGUGACCAAAAUGCCACAGUAGACAUAUUUUGGUCAUAAACGUCUACGACCAUUCGAGAAGGAAGGUUGCUAUAGUCAGUUUAUGACGGCCAGCUUUUGAUCUUAUGUUUUUGGUCACAAAAAGGUCACAAAUGGAAAUAUGUGACCAUUCAGUGACCAAUAGUGGUGGUCACAAGUUGACAUAUUUCUUCUAGUGCUUAAGUAUAGGCUGUUUUUAGAGUCCGUAUGUGUGGGGAAACAAGAGUUAGGGUUGGUUUCGGACCCCUCCACCAAGGGCCACGAAAUUCCCCCUCUCUCCUCCAUAUAUACAGACCUUAGGGCAUCGUUUAGACUUUGGGUUUUGUUUAGAUUAAAAGUUCACCAUAGCUGCAACUUCGCGUACUUCGUUUGUGUCCAACGACUAGACCAAGACGUCACAAAACCCCACCUUGAUCAAUAAUCUUUCAUCUUAUAUUCGCAAUAUCCAGAUUGCAAUCUCAGUUUCUUGCUUGUUCUUCGUUUGCCUACAGGAAACAGACCUUCGUGGUCAGGUUGAUCGUGCUCCGGCGUGGUCAAUAACCUCUCGGAGUUGGUUUAGCGAUUGAUAAGGCGCGACGUCCUCGCAUGUUCGUAGUCGGAUCGUCAAAGUCGACUUCCUCCAAAACGAUAGCCACAAUCUCAUCAAAAGACGGGACACCUUUGCCCCUAUCAGCGGGAUCCGUUGCUUUCGUGAAAGAUCGGGCGAUUAGGGUUCCACCCUACAUCAACUUGAUAGAGGCGAGGGUGUCCCGAUCUUUAAAUGAGAUGAUAAUUAUCGAUUUGGUGGAGACGACUUUGACGAUACGACUACAAACGUGCAUGACGUUCCGCCUUAGCAAUCGCUAAACCAAUCUCCUGAGGUUACUGACAAUGCCGGAAGCACGGUCAGCCUGACCACGAAGGUCUAUUCCUGCAAGCAAUCGAAGAACGAGCAAGAAUAUGAUAAAGCAAUCUGAAUAUUGCAAAUAUAUAUGAAGUAUUGAUAAUGGUGGGGAUCCGUAAGCGGUCUUGGUCUAUUCGUUGGACACAAACGAAGUACACGAAGUUGCAAUGGCUAACUUUUAACUAAACAAGUCCCAAAGAAAAAACUACUAGAUGGAUCUACUUAUAUAGGAGCAAGGGGUGGUGGCCAAGGAGGUGGGAGGACGUCCCAAGGCAGACUAAAACUAAUGCUAGGUCAUACAAGGCUCAUGGGCCCAAGUGGAGGUGAUGCAACACCUUUGGGCUUGUAAUUUGACUCGGAUUCUGCUGCAAUGUCAUAUUGUUUCGUCCAUAACUCAACACUCCGGACGAAUUUGAAGGUGAAUCCAAUUGAGUUGGAAAUAGCACGAAAUCUAGUUUCCAAAAAAAAGAAUCACCCAAUUCGGAGUCCGUAUGAAAAAGUAGUUGGUGUUUUGAGUCAUGUAUGUCUGUGAAGUCCGAAUCUGAAUCCAGAACGUGAGAGACUUGGACUCUAUCUUUCUUGGCCCAAAAGUGACGUGAGAGGACUUUUCGAACAGAACCUAAACUUCUUCUUUUCCCUUAUCUUCAUAUGUGGAUCGUACAAAUGUCCCAUACACCUACAAUUAUAUAAAACACAAAAGUGUUUGAAGUAUUUUUGUUCUGGAGAUAAAACACAAUUAGAUAACACAAAUAGAUUAUUGAAUAGUUUGCAUUAGAAAUCACCUGACAAAUAUGCAUGUAUGCAAUAUUUUUGCUCGUAUCCAAGGUAGUCAUGUCAUCAUCAUCCCCUUCUUGAAAACAAAGCCGUCCUCGGCGUUGCUUAAUCUGAAAUGUGGCUAACAAAAGAGACAAGGUGUACAUGUUGUAUAUGUAUAUGUCAUCCAUUUUAACUUCCCUUGAUUUUUGCACAUAUGAAACAUGUAUACAUGAGUAACUUUCAUAGUUCAUAAAAUCUGAAACCAAAAAAUUAUCACAAGAAGUAGAAGGCAUGAAAAUAUUACAACUCAGUUUGCACGUAUAAGUGAUGCUUUUAUUCAUUUCAAAAGAUUGGCAAUGUUCAUCAUUAAACCAUCCUAACUUUGAUGAAUGAACCUUACUUGCAUCAAAUUUACAUGCUACAACAUGCUUAAAUAAGCAAACAUGCAAUAAGUCAUUGGACACAGAAUCAUCAUCAAGAUUAGAGGUCAUAUCAAAAUGAUUAAACAUUGGUUCUUUUGCAUCAAUAGUUAAUUCAAUGGGUGCACUCAAAAUUGUUGAUAUUUCAGUUGUUUGAUCACAUGACGCAUUCAUGACAGUAACAAGAUUCUCUAAAAGAGGUGGUGUGCUCAAAUCAAUAGGUAACUCAACACAUGAUGUAUUCAAGGUAACUAGGCAUGGAUCAUUCUCAUGUGAAGUUAUAUCAUCAAUACCUUUACUGUUACCUUGUCGCAGAGAUGUAGCUGAUGUAGGUACGGACGUUGACAAUGUACCAUACUGUAAGUGCAUCUAGUGCCACCCCUAGUUGGUUUUGGAGUAUUGACGACAAACCUAGUUGAGGGACUAAUGUGUUUGUGAGAAUUGCAGGAUAACACAGGUAGAAGCCCGCCAGUGAUUCGGUUUUCCUUCCAGAGAUGACCCCUAAAAAUGUAUGAAGAUAUUGAAGUCAAAGGUGGUAAGUGAAGACAAUCACCUUCAAGACUAUGACAAGAGAAGACAUCGCAUGAACACUAUGGAGCGCGAAGACUUAGAUCUUUCGUAGUUCUUUUUCUUCCUUGUUGAGUCAUAGGAACUACCGUACUGUUAAGUGGGGUCCAAGAAAACUAGUCAGAAUGACUGAAGUGAUGCUUAACCAAAAUCCUAUGUCUUCGAGUGAAGACUAUGAGAGGGAAUCUUGUUCAGAGUUGGACAAGUCAGCUUUGCUUGUAGCCCAAGUAAAGUUGCCGUGUGUGUUUGAAAUCUAACCGUUGGAACACGUGUCAGUUCCUUACUAACCCAGGGUCAUUUCGUACAAAUCAGGUCGGGUUGCCUAGUGGCUAUAAAUAGCCCACCCCUUACAACCAUAAAUGGUUGGCUGCUCAGAGUUAAUGUACGGCUUUUGUCGUUUGAGAGCAACCCACCUCGAAGCCUUUGAGAGAGAAUUCCUUAAGAGGAUAAAUCCCUAACCACCCAGAGCCAAAGAGUGUUAGGCAUCACUUAAGUGUUCUUGUCUGUGUGAUCUGAAGACUUAUUACACUUGAGGACUGUGAAUCCUCCAGCCGGUUAGGCGUCGCGUUCUGAGCAUCCAAGAGUCAUUGUGGAUCGCCGGUGAACGAAGUCUGUGAAGGUUUGGAAGUCUACCUUGAAGAUUUACCAGAGUAAUUGGGCGAGGACUAGGUGUCCUUAGCUCAAGGGGAAUAAGGUGAAGACGAGGUCUUCUGAGUUGAAUCUCAGCCUCCCUAACCAGACGUACAGUUGUCACAGCAAUUGGAACUGGUCCAACAAAUCAUUGUCUUCAACGAGUCACUGGUUUCAUCCUUCCCUUCACUUACUUACUGUUGGUUCUUGUGAAGUCAUUGUACGAUAGCAUCACCAUUUGACUUCACUAAGUGAUUACGUGUACUGAUUGGCUUCUUAACAUCUUCCUACCUGAUCCUUACUGCCUAGCUGCUAUUUGUCAUUGUGCUUUCACUUCAUUGAAUACAUGACUAUGGUUUGCCUAGUGUAGUCUACCUUCCGCUGCAUGAUAAUAGGUUUAUUUCUAUCGUUUGUCUUCGAAACUAAUAUGUUUUGAAGACUUCCCUAAAAAUCGCAUAUUCACCCCCCUCUAGUCGAUCACUAGCACUUUCAAUUGGUAUCAGAGCAAGGUACUCCCUUGUUCUGUGUGAUUCGGAUUAACCACUUGGAGUUUUAGCUAUGUCGAUUGCAGGGAUAAUUAAAGUCUCCAAUGCGUGCCCCGUCUUCGAUGGAACUGAAUAUCCCUACUAGAAGAAUAAGAUGCGCAUGCAUCUUGAAGCCAUUGAUGUCGACCUAUGGUAUGUUGUCAAGAACGGCGUUCCCAAGGCUGGAGAAGGUUUCAUUGCCGCUGAUGUCAAGAAGUUCGUUCAACUGGACUCUACUUCCAAGAAUAUCAUCUGUGGUCAUCUAACCAAAGGACAGUAUGGCCGCGUGAGUGCUUUGGAAACAUCUAAGCUAGUCUGGGACUGGCUAUCCAAGGUCAACGAAGGCGUCUCAACCGAGAGAGAUCAGAGAAUCAGUGUCCUUCGCAACCUCUUCAACCGCUUCAAGAGAAAUGACAAUGAGAAUGUCCAGCUCACGUUCGAUUGACUCACUGACAUCACAAAUGAGCUUCAAGCCCUGGGCGCUAUUGAGAUCACCAAGCAUGAAGUCGUCAGGACACUCCUGAGAUCACUUGACAGUUUGUUUGACACCCUAGCCCUGAUGAUUCAAGAACGUCCUGAUUUCAAGACACUCGAUCCGUCUGACAUACUUGAAAGGCUCAACACACACGAGUUUUUGCUUUUUGAGAAAAGAGACAUCUACGGUCCCAACUAUGGGCGAACUCAUGCCUUGAAGGCAAAGGCUGUCUCCUCAUCUGAAGAAGAGUCUGACAGCAGUUCUGAUGAUCCUGAAGACAUUGGAAGGGAGCUUGCUAUGCUUGUGAAGAAGUUCCAAAAAUUCACCAAGAAGAAAGGCUUCAGAAAGUCUUCACAAUCAAGCUCAAGGAAUGAUGAAGCUUCUGCUCAUGACUACAAGAAGAGAACAUGUCACAAGUGCAAGAAACCUGGCCACUACAUCUCUGAGUGUCCACAGUGGGACAAUGAGAACAAGAACAAGAAGAAGAGCAAGGAGUAUGACUCUGACGACAAGAAGAAGAAGAAAUACUCAAAAUCUUCUUCCAAGUCUUCCUCCAAGUCUUCAUCACACAAGAAGAGCUCAUCUGGCAAGGCACGUGCGUUUGUUGGCAAGGAAAUGGACUCUGAGGAUGAGUCCGCAUCUGAGGAGGCGGAGGUGGAGUCUGAGGAGGAGUCCGAUUCUGGCAUUGGAAGUCUGGCUACAGCAUACGUUGCCAAGUCCAUCUUCAACACUGAAGAAAAUGACUUCAUCACCGACACCGAUGCAAAUGACAAGGACUACUCCACUCCUUCCUACUGCUUCAUGGCACGUGGUGCCAAGGUAAACACACGCAAUACUCACUAUCAAACAUCUAGUGACGAUGACUCUGAUUGUGUUUCCAAACCCAGCUACAAAACACUUGCUAAAAUUGCAACUGAACAACACAAAACCAUGGAACACAUUCAAAAACUGUUAGACAAAAGCGAUGAUCUGUUAGACGCUGAAAUGACUCGAUCUCAGUCCUUAAUUGAAGACAUAAAAAAUCUUCACGUUAUGUAUGAGGAACUUGAAAGUCGUCAUGAAACGCUCUCAACAGGUCAUGAAAGGCUUUCCUAUGAUUAUCUUCAAAGGAAGCAAGAUCUUGAUAAAUUGAGAGCGGCUCAUGAAGAUCUUCAAAAAAGAAAACGAUUCACUUCGCGCCGAACAGAUCAGUUCAGCUCAGGAAGGAUUUGAACCACCAUGUCUUAAAUGUAUUGAGCGUGAUAACGCUACUUCUGUUGCUGAAUGUUCUACUGCUGCUACUGUUGCAAUAUCUUCAACUGUUGAUGUGGAAACUAACCCCUCUGCUGAGGACACCACUGCUAUUGCUGAUGAGAAUGCUAGGUUGAAGACACUGCUUGAAACGGGGAUGUACAAAAGUCUCAAAUGGCAUCAGACACUAUGUGAUGUCCUCAAAAGGCAGAUCCUGAACCGAAACCCUAGGAAAGAGGGUGUUGGGUUCAUAAGGAAAAUGAAUGCUGAUGGCUCUUACUGGAAACCUGAGCAGUACCCCAAAACCACAUGGGUUGCUGCAAAGGAACCUUCAGCAGAUCCAUCCACUCUAUCUGGCUUCACUUGUGCUAACCCCAUUGUUAUUGAUGAAUCCUUUGAUGCAAACUAUAAACUGUUUAAGAAUCAGAAUGGUGAAGUGUUUCCCAGGUAUAUUGGUACUAACUGCAGGAAUGGACCGCCUAUGAAGAAGAUCUGGGUGCCGAAAAGGUGUUUGGAGAAUCUUCCUGUGAAUGUCAUCAUGACACCACAGGUGAAGAAGACAAACCCCAAACCACAGGCCUCAUACGGUCCAAAGGCUUCAUACAGACAGAGGACUCACCUGAGUCACACUAACGCAAAUGUUUUGCAGGGAAGCCAUACUCAGGCCUAUGAAUAUGAGCACGGUUCAUCAAACCGCCAUGUUCAUAAGACCAAGAACUAUUAUGCUUAUUCUUAUGAAUACUAUUGUCCACCUGCAAGACUUUUUGCUAGGGCUCCAAAGCCAAAGUUCUCAGAUGUUGCACUUAGACUUAUUGCUUCGAAGCCACCCCUUUAGAUGUGGGUGGCUAAGAAAGCUUAACUCUCUUUUGCAGGAAAAGGUCUCCAGCCGAAUACCAAAAUCGUCUGACACUAUUGUUGGGGACCUUAAACAUCUUGAGGGCGCAAGAUCAAAUGCCCAAAUGGUCUUACUAUGUACUUUGUUUCUGAAUUGCUUGCAACCUGCCCUAUCAGUCCUAAUCUUGAUCUAAGCCUUAAUAAUCCACUGGUUCGUCAAAUGUUUUUGCUUCACAAUUCUCUUCGUGAAGCCUAUCCCCCUAACUGCACUGUAGGGUACGACACCAGCUGCUUCAGAAUGGAUUGUUGAUAGUGGGUGUACAAAUCACAUGACUGGCAAGCGAAGCCUUCUCAUGGACUCAACUUUACAUCCAUCAAACAAAAGUCACAUCACAUUUGCUGACACUUGUAAAAGCAAGGUAUUGGGUCUAGGUAGAGUUGCAAUCUCAAAGGAUCAACACAUGAAAAAAGUCAUGCUUGUUGAAUCCCUUGGUUUCAACUUAAUGUCUGUCUCAAUGCUUUGUGAUUUAAACAUGAUUGUGAUGUUUGGAAAAUAUCGUUGCCUUGUACUAAUGGAAUAUGACAAGUCUCUAGUGUUUGAAGGGUAUCGAAAAGAUGAUUUGGAUGUUGUAGAUUUCUCAGCAGGGCCACAACUUCCAGUAUGUCUUCUAGCAAAAGCUUUUGAAUGCUGGCUCUGGCAUCGAAGGCUAGGGCAUGCUGGCAUGAGGAACCUCCACACCCUUGCAAGGAGAAAUCAUGUCAUAGGCAUCGAGGGCGUCAAGUUCAAGAAGGAUCACUUAUGCGAUGCCUGUGAAGCAGGAAAGAUGACGAGGGCCAAGCAUCCCUCAAAGACAAUCAUGACAACGACUCAACCCUUCGAACUGCUGCACAUGGAUCUUUUCGGUCCCACUCAUUACUCAACUCUUACUACUACUGCUUGUCUCUAUGACUUUGUCAUUGUUGAUGAUUAUUCAAGAUAUACUUGGGCGCAUAUAAUCCUUUACAAGACCGAAGUGCAGGAUGUCUUCAGAUGCUUCGCCAAUCAAGCAAUGAACAACUAUGGCGCCAAGAUAAAGCACAUCAGAAGUGAUAAUGGCACUGAAUUCAAGAACACUGGCCUUGAUACAUAUCUUGAUACUUUGGGCAUCACACAUGAAUUCUCAGCUCCGUACACGCCACAGCAGAAUGGCGUCGUCGAACGCAAGAAGAGAACACUUAUUGAGAUGGCUCGGACGAUGCUUGAUGAAUGCAAGACUCCAAGAAAAUUCUGGCCUGAAGCCAUUGACACUGCAUGACAUAUCAUCAACCGUGUUUAUCUUCACAAGCUUCUGAAGAAGACAUCCUAUGAACUCCUUACUGGCAAGAAGCCAAAUGUCAGUUACUUUAGAGUAUUUGGCGCCAAGUGCUGGAUCAAGGAUCCACAUCACACUUCAAAAUUUGCACCAAAAGCACAUGAGGUUUUAUGCUUGGAUAUGGAAAGGAUUCGCACUCCUACAAAGUCUUCAAUCUCUUUCAUUACAAAGUGGUUGAAACAGUGGAUGUGCGGUUCGAUGAAACUAACGGCUCACAAAGAGAGCAACUGCCAAAUGUGCUAGAUGAAGUUCCAUCCAGUGAAUCAAACAAACUUAUGGGAACUGGAGAAAUCAUACCUUCUAAAGCUCAACCUGAAGAAGAACUUAUCAUCUCCGCACCUGAUCAGCUUGAAGACAUUGCUCAGCCUGAAGACAAUGCUCAGCCUAAAGACAAUGCUCAGCCUGAAGACAAUGCUCAGCCUGAAGACAAUCCCUCUAACAAUGAUAAUGAUCAGCAAGAGCAAAAUCUUCGUCCUGUACAUCCUCGUGUUGCAAAUGAAGUGCAGAUUGAGAGAAUAAUCGAUAGCAUCAAUGCACCUGGUCCACUCACUCGUUCAAGGGAAACACAGCUAGCAAAUUUUUGUGGGCACUUCACAUUCGUCUCAAUAAUAGAACCCAAGAAAGUUGAAGAAGCCUUCAUGGGACCUGAAUGGAUUUAAGCUAUGCAAGAAGAGUUUCAACAGUUUGAGCUUAAUAAUGUAUGGGAACUGGUUAAGCGUCCUGAUCCUCGGAAGCACAAUAUAAUAGGCACCAAAUGGAUAUAUCGCAACAAGCAAGAUCAGCAUGGUCAAGUUGUAAGAAACAAAGCUCAUCUCGUUGCUCAAGGAUACACUCAAGUUGAAGGGAUUGACUUCGAUGAAACAUUUGCUCAUGUGGCUAGACUUGAAGCCAUAUGCAUACUGCUGGCCUAUGCAAAUCAUCAUUACAUACUUCUGUAUCAAAUGGAUGUGAAGAGCGCUUUUCUCAAUGGCAAGAUUGAAGAAGAAGUGUAUGUCGCACAACCACCUGGCUUUGAAGAUCCAAAACAUCCUGACAUGGUAUACAAGCUCAACAAGGCACUGUAUGGCCUCAAACAAGCCCCUCGGGCUUGGUAUGACACACUCAAAGACUUCCUGAAGAGCAAAGGCUUCAAAUCUAGUUCCCUCGACCCCACUCUCUUCACGAAGACAUAUGAUGGUGAACUGUUUGUGUGCCAAAUAUAUGUGGAUGACAUUAUCUUCGGCUGGACCAAUCAGAAAUACAGUGAAGAGUUUGGAUAUAUGAUGCAAGAGCAAUAUCAGAUGUCCAUGAUGGGUGAGCUGAAGUUCUCCUUGGUCUUCAAAUACGUCAGCAACGCAACGGCAUCUUUAUAUCUCAAGAGAAGUAUCUCAAAGAUUGCUUGAAGAAGUUUGGUAUGCAAGACUGCAAAGGCUUCACGACGCCAAUGCUAGCCAAACAUCAUCUGGGUCCCGACGACAAUGGUAAAGAGUUCGAUCAAAAGGUAUACCGCUCCAUGAUUGGUUCUUUACUUUAUCUAUGUGCAUCUAGGCCAGAUAUUAUGCUUAGUGUUUGCAUGUGUGCUCGAUUCCAAGCGGCACCAAAGGAAUCGCAUCACUUAGCUGUGAAGCGAAUUCUUCGAUAUUUGGCUUACACCCCAACUCUAGGAUUAUGGUGUCCAAAGGGCUUAGAGUUUGAUCUGGUUGGAUUCUCGGAUGCUAAUUAUGCUGGUUACAAGGUGGAUCGCAAGUCUACAUCAGGCACAUGUCAUUUUCUGGGACGAUCACUUGUAUGUUGGUCUUCAAAGAAGCAGAACUGUGUAUCUCUCUCCACUGCCGAAUCUGAAUACAUUGCUGCUGGAUCUUGCUGCGCUCAGCUUCUAUGGAUGAAGCAAACCCUCAAAGACUACGGCAUUCAUCUGAAGAAAGUGCCACUCUACUGCGACAAUGAAAGCGCCAUCAAGAUUGACAACAACCCAGUUCAGCACUCGAAGACAAAGCACAUUGAAAUUCAUCAUCACUUUCUCAGAGAUCAUGUUGUGAAGGAAGAUAUUGAUAUCAUACACAUCAACACUGAAGAGCAAUUGGCAGAUAUCUUCACCAAGCCCUUGGAUGAGAAGAGAUUUUGCAAGUUACGAUGUGAGCUAAAUAUCUUGGAAUCCUCAAAUGUCCUGUGAUCAGGCACACAUCCUAACAUUUAUGCAUAUUGAUGACUUAGAUGUGCAACACACGAAGUAAAGUAUAUCUUCAAUCAAUGAAGACAUACAUUCUAAGUGUGAAUACAUUAAUGUGGAAUUUGACUUCGGAGCGCCAUGAUAAUUGUGCGUCGUGUCUGGAUCUAAUACAUCCUAUACGGUGGGUAACGCCACCACAAAAUUCGUCUGUUUGAAGUGUUUUACCCAUGGUGUUACAUUUGCUGUAUCUUCACAUUUGAUUUGGCUUCAAUCUCAACAUGUCUUCAUGAUUAUCUUCAUUAUGUUGAUCAUAUAUAUGUAUAUACUAGUGUUCUGUCCUCUACAGCAUUCACUUAUAGCUAUGUCUUCUUGUUGAAUCUUUUGAACUAAGUGAAUGUGAUCGGACCCUAACCUCUCUAUGCUUUCUAUCUCAAACUCUAUCUCUCCAAAUCAUAUGCAUUCUAUUGAAACUGUCGAAUAUCUUCUCCGCGUCCUUGUCAGCAGAAGAUACAGAGACAAACAUUCAAUCCGUUUUCAAUGAUAAUUCCUUCACCUGAAACCCGGAGAAGUGGGAACGACCACCCGACAAUCCAGGCAUGCGUGGGAACAUGGAACAACCUCCGAUAUGUUGCAUGAUGGCCACGUGCUCUUCAGAUGUGAAUCACCAGGGGCAUCUAUGUAACAACGCUGUGCCGUCCCUGUCCCUAUAAAUACACACCUUACCACAGUCAUUAUCCUUUCUUCCACUCUCGCACGAACCCUAGUGAUGAGGACAUCAAUACCAUUGUUACACCCACAGCCCCUACUGUUACAUAUACUGGACCAAUUACUAGAGCUCGCGCACGCCAAUUAAAUUACCAGGUACUUGCAUUUCUUGGUAAUGAUUCUAAUGUUCAUGAGAUUAUGAUGCUGCCUAAAUUGGAUACAUUUGUUUUUCUUACAAAUGAAGGGCCUAGCUUGGAGAAGGAUGAACAUUGGAGCAAGAACACGCAUGGAGUUGAUGGCAUGCGCAAGGGGAUCAAGAACGGAGUUACAAGUGAUGAUUUCAGGACUUUGAAGCCGCCAUAAGGAGUGCAAGAAGCCUUGGACGAAAUAUACAAGAUGCCACUUCAUAAUAUUCGUCCAUAGGCUAUUCUAGGUGCUGCGUCACCUUAUUAAUGGGCCAAGCCCAUGUAAUUUCGAAAUACUUAAGUAUAGGCUAUUUUUAGAGUCCGUGUGUGUGGGGAAACAAGAGUUAGGGUUGGUUUCAAACCCCACCCUCAAGGGCCACUAAAUUCCCCCCCUCUUCCUCCAUAUAUACAACCCUUAGGGCGUCGUUUAGACUUUGGGUUUUGUUUAGAUUAAAAGUUUGCCAUAGCUGCAACUUCUCGUACUUCGUUUGUGUCCAACGACCAGACCAAGACGUCACAUAAGCCCACCUUGAUCAAUAAAGCUUUCAUCUCAUAUUCGCAAUAUCCAGAUUGCAAUCUCAGUUUCUUGCUUGUUCUUUGUUUGCUCGUAGGAAACAGACCCUCGUGGUCAGGUUGAUCGUGCUCCGGCGUGGUCAAUAACCCCUCGGAAGUUGGUUUAGCGAUUGCUAAGGCGCGACAUCUCGCACGUUCGUAGUCGGGUCGUCAAGGUCGACUCCCACAGAAAACGAUAGCCACCAUCUCAUCGAAACAUCGGGACCUUUGCCUCUAUCAAGUGGUAUCAGAUUUCCAGGUUGCUCGGUUAGAUUUUACAGUUUUUCGUAGAUUAGAUCAAGUCUGUUCUUCAUACCUACAGUCCACGAAAAAGCCACAAAAAAAUUAGGGUUAGUUCAUCAUAUCCGAACCAAUCUGAGCCUUUGCAUUAUCUUUUUAGGAUUUUUGCUUUGUUGAAUUUGUGGUUGCAUCGUCGUAUCAAGUUGCUGGUCUUAGAGUCUAGUCUUUUAGAGUUUCGAGUUCUGGUCAUAAGUUGUCACGCCGCCGCCGCACCAUCAUCAUCGCCUUGCCAUCUACCACCAUUGAUUAUCCGCCACCGCUCUGAAUCCGUAUCCAUAUACCACCACCAGUCCGUAUCCAUAUACCACCACCAAUCUGUAUCCAUAUACCACCACUCCUACCAUAUACCACCACCGCUGCCAUAUACCACAACCAUAUAUCCACCACCAAUCUGAGUUCUUCUCAUAUUAGGUUUGUUUUUGAGAUCAAUCUAAAUUCCGAUUUGUGUUUCCUUGCCUGCGUAGGUCUCGGAAAAAAAAGUCUCGAGACCCCCGGGCAGUUUUUAGGCCAAAAUUUUCAUGGGCAAAAAUAUUUUUUCCCUAUCCUAUUUUUAGGCUUUUCUGAGUCUUUUGAGCCACGUGCCAUCAUAGUGAUUUUUUGUCGCACUUUUUCAUCGUUGCUGCCCUGAUUUCUGAAAAAAAGUGAAAAAAAAAUUUUCGUGCCCAUCCUAUCAGUUUGACGAGGGAAGAGUUUUGAGACACUCGCCAUUAUAGUGAUUUUUCGCAAAAAAAAGAGGAGCGCAAAAAAAGGAGCACAAAAAAAGAGCGAAAAAAAAGAGUUCCAGAGUGUGCUUUUCCCUUAUUUACGUGCAGCGCCGUGAUUUUGUUAGUGUUCUAGGCUCGCGUCUCUAGCACGGUCUAGCCUAGGACCAGCACAGUACCGUCGUUGAGCUUUUAUUCAACUUUGCAUCUCUGAACUGAUUAUUGCUGACCCUUUUUUCUACCAUACUAUAAGCCUUCCAAGGUCCACAUACAUCUACGUCGUGCGUUUGACUCUCCCUGGCAAUCGCUCUAUCCAAGCUUUUGAGAGUUUUGACUACAACGGUUGCCGAUCACCGCCUGCUGCUGGGUAAGAACUGGUAAGAAUUUGAGAUUUGCUUGACGGAUUUGUGACACCCGCCACCACCACCACUUGUUAGUAGUCUGUAGGAUCAUAUUCUUGUGUGUUUCUAUUGCUGCUAACCAUGCCAGUAUCACAAGCCGACGAGACUGACUGGGAGAACUUGACGAACAAGGAGCUUCAUGAUAAGUUUCAACAAAUGAUGAGUGGACAGGGGCAAGAUGUGCUAAAAAGAUUUGAAGAGGCCAUGGAGAAGAUAGAUGGCAUGGAGAAGAUGUUUGAAACAAAGCUCGAUAACAAGUUUGCUGAAUUGCUUUCGCGUUUUCCACCACCACCACCGACUGCUCCUGCCGCACCUCUGCAACAACAGCAACAACACCGACUACCUCCACGUCGGGAAACAGCCCUCCGCCGAGCGAGCCGUGUCCCUCUUCAGCCGGGCCAAACUGCUGGUGCUGCUGUUGAUACUUCUGUGGAUCCUACUGCUGAUGUGGAGGAGGAUGAUUAUGUGGGAGAUUAUGAGGAUGAGGUUGAUCAAAAUCAGAACUACGUGCCACCACCAGCACAGCAACCACCAGGUCGUCCACAUGCAAAUAAUGGCAAUGGUAGGGCUCACCCUCAGGUAUGAGAUCAUGACCAUCUCCCUAAACUAAAAUUGAAUAUUCCACCAUUUGAGGGUAGAUAUGUUCCUGAUAUAUAUCUUACUUGGGAGUUAGAAACUGAACAAUGAUUUACAUGUUUACAAUAUCCCGAGGAGAGACGUGUUCCUGCUGCUGUUUGUGCAUUCACUAGUUUUGCAUGUGUUUGGUGGUCUGAGCAUUGUAGAUUAUAUCCUAUUCCGGCUACUUGGGCUGCUUUGAAAACUGCUAUGCGUACUCGUUGGGUUCCACCAUAUUAUCAAUGUGAAUUACUUCAAAAAUUGCAGCGCUUAAGACAGGGAAAAAAAUUCUGUAGAAGAAUAUUAUCAGGAAUUACAAACUGGCAUGAUUAGAUGUGGUAUUGUUGACGAGAAUGAAGCUAUGCUUGCACGUUUUAUGGGUGGAUUAAAUAGAGAGAUUCAGACAAUUCUAGAGUAUCAGGAGUAUACUAAUAUCACUCGUUUAUUCCAUCUUGCUUGUAAAGCUGAACGUGAAGUGCGGGAUCGACAGGCAUUGGCGCGGACUAACUUUUCUGCACGUCGACCUUCAUCAUGGACACCACGUGCAUCAUCUACUUCCACACGUUAUGCUACACUGGCGCCUUCAUCGGCUGCCACCUCCAACCGUGAUACAAUAAAGCAGGCACAAUCACCACUAUCUGCCAAGAGCAUACCUUCUGGGCCUGCAAAGAGCUCUUCUUCAUCCAUGGCAUCAACAGGGCAAACACAUGAUAUUAUUUGUCGACGUUGCAAGGGUGGAGGUCAUUAUGCGGGAGAAUGCCCAUCUAAGCGUGUGAUGAUUGUUACUGAGGAUGGUGGGUAUGAGUCCGCUAGUGACUAUGAUGAGGAGACUUUGGCUCUUAUUACACGUGACGAACACGGUGGAGACGAUUCUGAUCAUGAGACGCAAUACAUGGCUCCUGAAGAUGCUGACAGGUAUGAAUGUUUAGUUGCUCAACGUGUUUUGAGUGUGCAGGUUACACAAGCUGAGCAAAAUCAGAGGCAUAAUUUGUUCCAUACAAAGGGAGUUGUGAAGGAACGUUCUGUUCGCGUGAUCAUAGAUGGAGGGAGUUGCAACAACUUGGCUAGCAUGGAGAUGGUGGAGAAGCUAUCUCUCACCACAAGACCACAUCCACAUCCUUACUACAUCCAAUGGUUCAACAACAGCGGCAAGGUUAAGGUAACACGUACUGUUCGUGUGCAUUUUAGUAUCUUUACAUAUGCUGAUUAUGUUGAUUGUGAUGUGGUACCUAUGCAAGCAUGUUCCUUAUUACUUGGUAGACCAUGGCAAUUUGAUAAAAAUUCUGUACACCAUGGUAGAAACAAUCAGUAUACUCUUGUUCAUAACGAUAAAAAUAUUACUUUGCUUCCUAGGACUCCUGAUUCCAUUUUGAAAGAUGAUAUUAAUAGAGCUAAUAAAGCAAAACAGGAGACAAAUAAGAGUGAAAAUCAGAUUGUGGCAAAAGAAUUUGAGCACUAAAUGAAGCCUAAUAAUAAACCAUCUACUGUUGUUUCUGAAAUUAAAUUGAAAAGUGCAUGUUUACUUGCCACCAAAUCUGAUAUUGAUGAGCUAGAUUUUAGCAAAUCUGUUUGCUAUGCUUUUGUGUGCAAAGAGGCAUUAUUUUCAUUCGAGGACGUGCCUUCCUCUUUGCUCCCUGCUGUCGCUAACAUUUUGCAGGAGUUCGCUGACGUCUUUCCACAAGACGUGCCACCGGGAUUACCACCUAUUCGAGGGAUUGAGCAUCAAAUUGACUUAAUUCCCGGUGCUUCGCUACCCAACCGUGCACCAUACCGUACCAAUCCAGAGGAGAUGAAGGAGAUUAUGCGUCAAGUACAUGAGCUGCUCGACAAAGGUUAUAUACGCGAAUCUCUUAGUCCUUGUGCUGUUCCUAUUAUACUAGUGCCUAAAAAGGAUGGUACGUCGCGUAUGUGUUUUGAUUGUAGAGGCAUUAAUUAUAUUACUAUUCAUUAUCGUCAUCCUAUUCCUAGGCUUGAUGAUAUGCUUGAUGAAUUGAGUGGCUCUACAAUAUUCUCCAAAGUUGAUUUGCGUAGUGGAUACCAUCAAAUUCGUAUGAAAUUGGGAGAUGAAUGGAAAACAGCAUUUAAAACUAAGUUUGGUUUAUAUGAGUGGUUAGUCAUGCCUUUUGGGUUAACUAAUGCGCCUAGUACUUUUAUGAGAUUAAUGAAUGAAGUUUUACGUGCUUUCAUUGGACGAUUUGUGGUAGUCUAUUUUGAUGAUAUACUGAUUUAUAGCAAAUCUUUGGAAGCACAUUUGGAACAUUUACGUGCUGUUUUUAUCGCUCUACGUGAUGCACGUUUGUUUGGUAACCUUGGGAAGUGCACCUUUUGCACCGACCGAGUAUCUUUUCUUGGCUAUGUUGUUACUCCACAGGGAAAUGAAGUUGAUAAAGCCAAGAUUGAAGCUAUUGAUAGUUGGCCGCAGCCCAAAACGGUCACACAAGUGAGGAGUUUCCUUGGCCUGGCUGGUUUCUAUAGGCGUUUUGUGAGAGAUUUCAGCACCAUUGCUGCACCUCUCAACGAGCUUACAAAGAAGGAUGUGCCUUUUGUUUGGGGUACCGCACAGGAAGAAGCCUUCAUGGUAUUGAAAGAUAAGUUGACACAUGCUCCUUUACUCCAACUUCCUGAUUUUAAUAAGACUUUUGAGCUUGAAUGUGAUGCUAGUGGAAUUGGAUUAGGAGGUGUGUUAUUACAAGAUGGCAAACCUGUUGCAUACUUUUCUGAAAAAUUGAGUGGGCCUAGUCUGAACUAUUCUACUUAUGAUAAAGAAUUAUAUGCUCUUGUUCAGACUUUAGAAACAUGGCAACAUUAUUUGUGGCCCAAAUAAUUUGUUAUAGAUUCUGAUCAUGAAUCUUUGAAACACAUUAAAAGUCAAGCAAAACUGAACCGUAGACAUGCUAAAUGGGUUGAAUUCAUUGAGACUUUCCCUUAUGUCAUUAAACACAAGAAGGGUAAAGAAAAUGUUAUUGCUGAUGCAUUGUCUCGUCGUUAUACUAUGCUUUCACAACUUGACUUUAAAAUAUUUGGUUUGGAGACCAUCAAAGAUCAAUAUGUGCAAGAUGCUGAAUUUAAAGAUAUAUUGCAGAAUUGUAAAGAAGGUAGAACAUGGAACAAGUUUGUCGUUAAUGAUGGAUUUGUGUUUCGUUCUAACAAGCUAUGCAAUCCAGCUAGCUCUGUUCGUCUUUUGUUGUUGUAGGAGGCGCAUGGAGGAGGAAUAAUGGGACACUUUGGCGUGAAGAAGACGGAGGAUAUACUUGCUACACAUUUCUUUUGGCCAAAGAUGAGACGGGAUGUUGAGCGUUUUGUUGCUCGCUGCACUACAUGUCAAAAAGCUAAGUCACGACUCAAUCCUCAUGGUUUAUAUAUGCCUUUGCCUGUACCUAGUGUUCCUUGGGAGGAUAUAUCUAUGGACUUUGUUUUAGGUUUACCUCGAACAAAGAAGGGGAGGGAUAGCAUAUUUGUUGUCGUGGAUAGAUUCUCGAAAAUGGCACACUUUAUACCAUGUCAUAAAAGCGAUGAUGCUGUUAAUGUUGCUGAUUUGUUCUUUCGUGAAAUUAUUCGCUUGCAUGGUGUGCCAAAUACUAUUGUUUCAGAUCGUGAUACUAAAUUUCUUAGCCACUUUUGGAGAUGUUUAUGGGCUAAGUUGGGGAAUAAACUACUUUUUAGUACUACUUGUCACCCCGAAACUGAUGGACAAACUGAAGUAGUCAAUAGAACAUUGUCUACUCUGCUUAGGGCUGUUUUGAAGAAUAAUAAGAAAAUGUGGGAAGAAUGCUUGCCUCAUAUUGAAUUUGUUUAUAAUCGUUCAUUGCAUUCUACUACUAAGAUGUGCCCUUUUGAAAUUGUGUAUGGUUUCCUACCUCGUGCACCUAUUGAUUUGUUGCCUCUUCCAUCUCCGGAGAAGGUUAAUUUUGAUGCUAAAGAACAUUCUGAAUUGAUUUUAAAAAUGCAUGAGUUAACUAAGGAAAACAUGGAGUGUAUGAAUGCUAAAUAUAAACUUGCUGGAGAUAAGGGUAGAAAACAUGUUGUGUUUGCACCUGGAGAUCUUGUUUGGUUACAUUUGCGUAAAGAUAGAUUUCCUAAUCUGCGCAAAUCAAAGCUAAUGCCACGUGCUGAUGGUCCUUUUAAGGUGUUAGAGAAAAUAAAUGAUAAUGCAUAUAAACUUGAGCUACCUGCAGAUUUUAGGGUUAGUCCCACUUUUAACAUUGCAGAUUUGAAGCCUUAUUUGGGUGAGGAAGAUGAGCUUCCGUCGAGGUCGACUUCAUUUCAAGAAGGGGAGGAUGAUGAGGACAUCAAUACCAUUGUUACACCCACAGCCCCUACUGUUACAUAUACUGGACCAAUUACUAGAGCUCGCGCAUGCCAAUUAAAUUACCAGGUACUUUCGUUUCUUGGUAAUGAUUCUAAUGUUCAUGAGAUUAUGAUGCUGCCUAAAUUGGAUACAUUUGUUUUGCUUACAAAUGAAGGGCCUAGCUUGGAUAAGGAUGAACAUUGGAACAAGAACAUGCAUGGAGUUGAUGGCAUGCGCAAGGGGAUCAAGAACGGAGUUACAAGUGAUGAUUUCAGGACUUUGAAGCCGCCAUAAGGAGUGCAUGAAGCCUUGGACGAAAUAUACAAGAUGCCACUUCAUAAUAUUCGUCCAUAGGCUAUUCUAGGUGCUGCGUCACCUUAUUAAUGGGCCAGGCCCGUGUAAUUUCGAAAUACUUAAGUAUAGGCUAUUUUUAGAGUCCGUAUGUGUGGGGAAACAAGAGUUAGGGUUGGUUUCGGACCCCACCCUCAAGGGCCACGAAAUCCCCCCUCUUCCUCCAUAUAUACAGCCCUUAGGGCGUCGUUUAGACUUUGGGUUUUGUUUAGAUUAAAAGUUCGCCAUAGCUGCAACUUCUCAUACUUCGUUUGUGUCCAACGACCAGACCAAGACGUCACAGAACCCCACCUUGAUCAAUAAAGCUUUCAUCUUAUAUUCGCAAUAUCCAGAUUGCAAUCUCAGUUUUUUGCUUGUUCUUCGUUUGCUCGCAGGAAACAGACCCUCGUGGUCAGGUUGAUCGUGCUCCGGCGUGGUCAAUAACCCCUCGGAAGUUGGUUUAGCGAUUGCUAAGGCGCGGCGUGUCGCACGUUCGUAGUCGGAUCGUCAAGGUCGACUGCCACAGAAAACGAUAGCAACCAUCUCAUCGAAACAUCGGGACAGAUUUGCCUCUAUCACCUAGUGCCACCGCUAGCCCUCGACAACGCCGGCGACGAAGUGCUUAGCUGCCGCGACCUCUCCGACGCCGUCUUCACGCCGGCCGCGGACAUCGUCUUCUCCGCCGUCGCCAUAGGUGUCCUCCGUCGCCAAGUUAGGGCACGGACGAUCGAACUGCUCGGCCUCCUCUUCCACUACAUCUAGCAGUUCCUUGUGUGGUAAAUAAAACUUCCUUUUUACGGCCUCUUUGAUCCUAUAGAUUCGUCACUUUCUACCACAAGCAGUUUCUGUUCACACAAGUUGGAUCCACUUCAUACUGCAUCUCAUAUUAUGCCUAGUAUGUUCACUUAUGCUUCACAAAGUAGUUAGAUUCCUCACUUGUACUAAUCUGUGGAUUCGUACAAAUCUGGAACCAACUCCUUAUCUAUGAGUGAAUGUCUUCGCACGGUGAGGUCAAUGUCUUCUAAACUGAUUUAUCUUCAAAAUCUUCUGAGAAUGCAUAUGACCUCUUCCCCUUCCCUCGCACCUUAAUGCUGUCACAGGUACAUGUCCAUGGGAGAAUCCCUUGGUUCUCAUAGUCUGCAUUCAUUUGCAGAAUUCUUACAGCAUCACAUAAAUUCUCCCGAAACCAGUUCCUGUUUGUCCAGCAAGCGAAAGCCCUUGAAGCCUUUGAACGUAUUGAAGCCAUUCAGUUUAAAGUUCAUGGCUGCAGAGAAAUCAGCAAGAAAGGGUGGCAGAAAGCGUCGAGGUGAAACAUCAAGAGAUCUGCCCGAUGACCUCUCAGAACUGUACAAGACAGAUCCAGAAGAGGAUUACAAUCAGCGCAAGACACGAAUCCAAUGGAUUCGACGAUAUUGGGCAGAACAGUGGUUUAAGUACAGGUUUGUAACAAAGGAAUAUGCUGAGAAGAAUACCAUCAAGCGACCAUGGGGAGACAUCCUAUACAAAAAUCUUCAACCCAGGUCCAGAGAUGAAGCCAUUGAACAAGGCUUCUAUCCCUGCAUGGUCCGUGGACCACAGCCUGCGGAUGCUGACCCAUCGUGACUGCUCUGGUGUCGUGACGACAAUCUGUUCAAGCGCAACGAUGCCAUUGAUCUGUCCAGUGAUGAAGAUCUUGCAAAUGACGCUCUUGAGCAACUGAUCAAGAGCAAAGAAGAAGCAGAAAUCUUCAACAAUUUGCCUCUCUUUGACGUGGCAAUCAUCCACGACUUCAUCGAUGAGUGGUUUGACACUCCCAACCUCAGCUUUGAAGAUCUGCAACUUCCCAUUGGCCUCAGUGUCACUUUCCAUGGCGCCAUUGCUUCAGAGUUAGCUAUAGCCCAGCGCAUCGUUGAACUGAAGCAGAAGAUUGACUUUGAGAAAUCUCAGUUCAAGAAACAUAUGGCCAAGCUCAGCGUGCAAGAGGUCAAGAACUUCAAGACCACGCUGCAUGAGCUCAAAGAAGCCUUUCUCAAGAAGCGUGAAGAAGCUUAAGGUUCUCGUGAGCGCAUGAAGAACCUGGCUGACAAGUGUGUGCAAGCCUACAAUGAGGCUGAGAAAUGCAAGGCCCUUGGGCGCCCUGGCAUUGACCCCCGGAUGACUACAAAGCAGCAGAAGAAGAAGCCCGCUAUGGCCGAACCCGACGCACCAAGGCAGGAAGCACAUCCCAUUGUCUUCCCAACCAGCAUGACUGGCUCGAAGCCAAAAGAAAGGUCUACCACUUCAGAACUGAAGAAGACGAGGACUGCUGAGGCUGAAGCCAGAAAGAGGAAACAUCUUGAAGCCUCUGUUGCUGCUCCCUCCAAGAAGAAGUGGAAGACCAAGAAGGAACGGGCUGCUCCCACCGAGCCCUUAAUUGUUGAACCUAUCUCCAUGGUUCGCCCUGCCGCUGAACAUCAAGAGCGCCAACUUACUGUCCAUGAGCCUGCUUUCACAGAGGCUUGUGAAGCUGAAGACAUACCAGCAGCUGAUCCCACCGCUGCUGAAGACAUUGGUCACCAUGACCAUGUUGAAGAUGAUGUAGUUCUUCCUCAGAUGGAGCACCAAUAGGUAUUGUCGCCUGUGCUUAUGAACAGCUAACUCAUCAGCUUUGGUCGUUCUCUGACGCCAAUUGCUCAGGAUGCAUCAUGGGCUGAUCACCCACAACAACACGUCACACCACCCCGGCAAGAAUAAGAAGAUGACUUUGAGGCCCAGCCAACUCCAUCUCCAAAGGCGUCGCCAGUGUUACGCAGGCUUCGCAAAGGACCAAGGUCUCAAGUCUCCGAGUCUGAGGCUAAAACUAGUGAAGACAUUCCGACUGCAUCAGCCGAUGACACUCAAGAAGAAGAACGUGUCCCUACUCACCCAACUACUGAAGAAGCUGUUCUCGAGGAGAACGUGUCUGUGCCCGACCCUCCAGCUCAUCAAGUGGAGGUAGAAAAUCUUGAGGCUGCCACCACCAACACCAAUGAAGCCACUAACGCUGUCAUGGCUGAAGAAAAUGUGGAGCCUACACCAACCCAAGAACCAGAAGUCAGCGAAGCCAAUGAUGCUACUGCUUCUGUUCCUGCGCCUGCUGCUGGUCCUCAGUUUGACUAUCAUAUUGAGCAUAGGCCUCAGGUACAGAAGCCAACGCCAAGGUUUCCAUGGUUUCCAGGUCCUGCAUCAGCACCUGGAUCCUUCAAUGUCAAUAGCUUCAAAGCAGACAACACCUUCUUCGAUAGCUCCAAGAACCCCUACUCAAGGGAACGAAUAUCUUCUGAUCGGUUCUGGAGCUAUCCACAGCGAAGCUAUUACUCCUGCAUUCUGUACAAUCAUGGUCGCAUCUUCCCACAUAUGCGUCUUGACACCGAAGCAAUAGCUGGUCUGCCCUGUUUGGAAGAAGCUCUGGAUUGCUUCAAAGAGGUUGGAUUGCUGCCCUUCAUCACCGACCAAGAGCAUUGGAACGAAGAGUUGCUGCUCCAAUUUUAUGCCACACUUCACAUACGUGGUUACAACAGAGAUCCGAAGACUUGGGUCCUUGAGUGGAUGACAGGAAAUGUUCAUCACGAAGCCAAAGCCUUUGAUAUCAUUGAGCUCACUAGUCUGCCCACUCCUAGAGAUCUCUAUGAACCUGGUUGUCAACUCCAUAGUGAAGCUAUGGAGAGCAUCUUUCAUAAGCCUGAACCGAACAUGAGUCAGAUGCUCAGUAUGAUGAAGCCUUUGCCACAAGAUGUUGCAUAUCCUAAGGAGUUCUUUGUUGAAGACCUGGAGUAUCUACCAAGGACUAUCUAUCACAUUAUACGGCGAACUCUCUGGCCCAUCAAAGGACAUUCUCCACAUACAAAACUGGAAGGUGCAAUGAAGACUUUGGUCUUCUAUAUUCUUCAUGGGAAAUGCUUCAAUGCACAAGACUUCUUCAUCCGCCAACUUGGUGCAUUAGGAUCUGAUCUUUUUGGCUUGAAGUUCUACGCUCCAUGGAUAAUGCGGCUGAUUAAACUCCACUCAGCUAUCUCAUAUUAGCCAUCUGCUCGCAAUCAUCGGAUCUUUCUGCCUGAUGUGGAUAUGUCCGUUGAAGCCAUUUAUCUAGAGCCUGCCAAGGAACCUCUUAGUCUUCAGAAUGCGGAGCAUCAAAGUUUCACUCAGAACAUUGAAGGAGUUGAAGCAAUCACUCGUGUUUAUCCUCUGGCUGGUACUACACAUGCACCUCAUUGUGCCCUUACUGAAGCCACUGAAAGCACUAUUGCCCAACGACCCAAGAAGCGAUCUCGUGUUCUCAAUGACCGAGAGCUUCUGGUUGCUCUUCAUCAGAAACAGGAUAGGCAUCAUGACUGGCUGAAGCGCCAAAUGCACAGCCUCUUGGUCGAUGUCAACCGCAUUCGCAAUCUUGCCACCAAGAAUGCCUUUGUUGCCCAUGAAACCUGUCAGCGUACAUGGAAAGGGCUGACGCUUAUGUGUUCUGAGGAUGAUCUUCAAGAGGAUGGCUUCUCUGAACGUUUGAAGUUUGACUCCACACCUCCCCAAAGGACUGUGCUGCGACGAACUCCAUCUCUUGAAGACUCUGAGUUCUCUUCCUCUGCGGCAACUGUGAAUGCCAGAGUGAUCCAGGACGAAGAUGAUGCCACUUCACCGCCCCCUACUUCUGCACGCCUCCACACUGCCCCAAGUUCUUCUGCACCGCCGAACACCACCGACGACCCUGCUGCUUCACCUACUCUUCAUGGAAACAAGUAGCUGCUCUAUGUCUUCAAACCUUUUAGGUCCUCACUAACAAAAGGGGGAGAAGCAUAUGAGUUUGAUAGUCUUCAAGCGGGUCCAUAUGGGCAGUUACUUUAUGUUUUGCCUAGUGUUUACAACUCUCGCUUUGAUACAUUUGGUUCUUUGAGUUGUAACACUUAAACUCGAUGGUCAUCUGCUACUUAUUUGCUAUUUUGUGAUGCGAUGAUAAAUCCCGCAUGUGUGACGAUAAAUUCCGCACUUAGAUCUUUUUGUAGACGUCCAUUUUUCAUUAUGCAUGUCAUUAUCUUCACAUACCUUUCAUGCAUGAUGAAUUGUCAUCAUGAGUUGAAGAGGAUCUCCACAAGUACAACCUGCCAUGUGCAUUUGCAUUCCAAAAGCAAAUUACUUAUAUGCACAUCUUCAGGGGGAGCCCUUGCAACUUAUGAAGACAAUUCCUUAUCCUUUACAAUUUCACAUAUUAUAUUCCCCGUUGAAAACUUCAACUAGUUUGUCAUCAAUCACCAAAAAGGGGGAGAUUGUAAGUGCAUCUAGUGCCACCCCUAGUUGGUUUUGGAGUAUUGACGACAAACCUAGUUGAGGGACUAAUGUGUUUGUGAGAAUUGAAGGAUAACACAGGUAGAAGUCCCCCAGUGAUUCGGUUUUCCUUCCAGAGAUGACCCCUAAAAAUGUAUGAAGACAUUGAAGUCAAAGGUGGUAAGUGAAGACAUUCACCUUGAAGACUAUGACAAGAGAAGACAUCGCAUGAAGACUAUGGAGUGUGAAGACUUAGAUCUUUCGUAGUUCCUUUUCUUCUUUGUUGAGUCAUAGGAACUACCGUACUGUUAAGUGGGGUCCAAGAAAACCAGUCAGAAUGACUGAAGUGAUGCUUAACCAAAAUCCUAUGUCUUCGAGUGAAGACUAUGAGAGGGAAUCUUGUUCAGAGUUGGACAAGUCAGCUUUUCUUGUAGCCCAAGUAAAGUUGCCGUGUGUGUUUGAAAUCUGACCGUUGGAACACGUGUCAGUUCCUUAGUGACCCAGGGUCAUUUCGGACAAAUCAGGUCGGGUUGCCUAGUGGCUAUAAAUAGCCCACCCCCUACAACCAUAAAUGGUUGGCUGCUUAGAGUUAAAGUAUGGCUUUUGUUAUUUGAGAGCAACCCACCUCGAAGCCUUUGAGAGAGAAUUCCUUGAGAGGAUAAAGCCCUAACCACCCAGAGCCAAAGAGUGUUAGGCAUCACUUAAGUCUUCUGUCUGUGUGAUCUGAAGACUUAUUACACUUGAGGACUGUGAAUCCUCCAGCCAGUUAGGUGUCGCGUUCUGAGCAUCCAAGAGUCAUUGUGGAUCACCGGUGAACGAAGGCUGUGAAGGUUUGGAAGUCUACCUUGAAGACUUACCAGAGUAAUAGGGCGAUGACUGGGUGUCCGUAGCUCAAGGGGAAUAAGGUGAAGACGAGGUCUUCUUAGUUGAAUCUCAGCCUCCCUAACCAGACGUACAGUUGUCACAGCAACUGGAAUUGGUCCAACAAAUCAUUGUCUUCAACGAGUCACUGGUUUCAUCCUUCCCUUCCCUUACUUACUGUUGGUUCUUGUGAAGUCAUUGUACGACAGCAUCACCAUUUGACUUCACUAAGUGAUUACGUGUACUGAUUGGCUUCUUAACAUCUUCCUACCUGAUCCUUACUGCCUAUCUGCUAUUUGUCAUUGUGCUUUCACUUCAUUGAAUACAUGACUAUGGUUAGCCUAGUGUAGUCUACCUUCCGCUGCAUGAUAAUAGGUUUAUUUCUAUCGUUUGUCUUCGAAACUAACAUGUUUUGAAGACUUUCCUAAAAAUCGCCUAUUCACCCCCCUCUAGUCGAUCACUAGCACUUUCACAUACUCUUGAGAUGAUGUCACGCUCACAAUCCGAGGUGGGGCUGCUCUAGUAGGUGCAACGGUGGAGUAACCAACCGGCAGUGGUGAGCAUGAACUGGAAUAGUAGUUGUUGUAGUCACCCAAUGCAUCCUCCUGUAUCUGUCUCUCAAAGGUACAAGCACGGACAUACAUACCAAUAAUGCAACAAGGAAUAUACUGAAAUCUUGCCUGAAUAUCAUGGUUCAAACCACCAAAAAGUCUAUUCAUUGUAUCAUCCUCACAUUCUUCUAUGUCACAAUGAUGCAUAUAAGAUUUGAACUCUUGGUAGUAAGCAUGAAUAGUGUUGUUGCCUUGCUUAAAUUUUUCAAAUUUCCGAAGCAAUUCACGACGAUAGUAAGGAGGGAAAAUUGUUGUCUCAUUACAGCUUUCAAAACUUUCCAGGUUGUGGGUUGGUUAUCAAUGUUUUUCUUACAAUGUACACUCCACCAAACAGAAGCAAACCCAGUAAAUGCUCUAGUGGUAGCUCAUACUCUCUCAAGUUCAGAAAAAUCAUGGUGACUAGAAACUUGUUCUACUUCAAGCUCCCAAGCUAGAUAAAAAGAAGGAUUAAAUCUACCAUCAAAUGAUGGUAAAGAGAUAACCUGACGAUAUGCUUGUGUGUGUUGUCCCAACUCUCGUGAUGGUGAAGAUGUGUCCGUCGUACAAGAACUUCUAUCUCCGGAACCUGUCAUGAUUAGUAGAAACAAGAAACAAAAUUCAAGAAUAAUGUUCCUAUGAACUACUACGUCAUGGUGGUAAAACGCUCACAGUAUAACAAAUAUCAAUAUCUUACAAGUUCUUACCAUGCAGCAGGUGGUGACAGUCAACCAGCAGUGUUAAAUAACUCCGAAGAUUGUGUAAAGCGAUUGCCAGUGGAACGUACGUAUACACGGUGUAGAAAUAUGUGGAGCUGGGUUCGCUAUAUAUGGUAGCAAAAUAUUAGCAAUAAUCAAUUCAAAGAUGCAAUGUUGAAUAAAUGCUCAACGACGGUACUAUGCUGGUCCUAGGCUAGACCGGACUAGAGACGCGAGCCUAGAACACUAAUGAGGUCACGCCGUAGCACAACUAGAAUCAAUAAAAGAUAAGAAGUAGGUCUGGACAGCAAAAUAUAAGUGAAGAUCACAAUAGCCGUAAAGAUAAUGAUCACAAUAACCGUAAAAAUAUAAGUGAAGAUCUCAACCUUUCCUUUGUAAAAGUUUGUGCCAAUUUUUUUGAUAAUUUUUCAAGAAUGGUAUUGACUCGAGCUUUCAAACGCAAAAGGAAUCACUCAAUUCCGAGUUGAUAUGAGGAGUCAAAAAAUUCUAAAACUGGCCUGAAAAACUGGAAUAAGUUGUGUUCGUGAACUUCGGAGGGCAAAAAUAUCUAUUUAGAUGCCGAUUUUGAGGUGCCAAAUAUUGAACUAGCUUAUGCAACUAUUUAGAUGCGGUGCGUCGCUAGCUUUGAUUUGAGUACUCGUGGAGCGAAAAUGGACUUCGUAUGAGGAAGUUAUGACUGUUUUACUGAACAGUGUACACAAUAGAUUCCAAUCCGAAUUCAACCACGACAUUGAGUCUAUAGAUCCGAAUUUUGUUUUUUUUUCUUCUCUCUUUUUUUCUCUCUUUUUUUCCUCACACUUUUUUUUCUUUUUUUUUCUCUGACUUUUUUUACUUGUUUUCUUUUUUUUCUCUUUUUUUCCGUCUCCCUCUUUCCAAACAAACUAGAUAAGAUGCAGAUUGGAUAUAGCGAAGAUGUGAACAACCUCAACUAUGAUUGUGACAAUGAACGAUGGCUAGCACGUGGUGGAAAUUGAUGGAUGGGUGGUGGACAGCGAAAGGGAUAACGAUGCAGCGGCGGCGUGACUAAUGUGAACAGAACUCAAAACUCUAAACGAACUAGACACUAAGACAAGCAACUCGACACGAUGAUGCGACCAAUAAUUCAACUAUGCAAGCAAUGAAAAGAAAAUAGCAAAGGCUCAGAUUGUCUUGGACAAAGGAUGAAUAGAUCUAACCUUUUUUGUGGCUUUUUCUUAGACAAUAGGUAAGAAAAUAA
RNAcentral lists this long non-coding RNA (73623 nucleotides) under Triticum aestivum (bread wheat). Its description in RNAcentral is "long non-coding RNA (TAES_LNC019791)". Lineage: Eukaryota; Viridiplantae; Streptophyta; Magnoliopsida; Poales; Poaceae. The record is from RNAcentral.